This 55827-nucleotide long non-coding RNA is filed under the name Gossypium barbadense (sea-island cotton). Its description in RNAcentral is "long non-coding RNA (GBAR_LNC014012)". Lineage: Eukaryota; Viridiplantae; Streptophyta; Magnoliopsida; Malvales; Malvaceae. The record is from RNAcentral.
GUGGAGGUGGUGGAGACUUAUACUUGUAAACUGGAGAUGGUGGGGGUGGAGACUUGUACUUGUAAGGGUGCUUGGGUGGUGAUGGUGGUGGUGGUGGGGACUUGUACUUGUAAGGAUGCUUGGGUGGUGAUGGUGGUGGAGGUGGAGGAGACUUGUACUUGUAAGGAUGCUUGGGUGGUGAUGGUGGAGGAGGUGGUGGAGACUUAUAGUUGUAAACAGGAGUUGGUGGGGGAGGAGAUUUGUACUUGUAAGGCUUCUUGUGUGGUGGUGGUGGUGGAGAGUAGACCGGAGGAGGCGGUGGUGGAGACUUGUAAUGGUAAGGUGGUGGUGGGUACUUCUUAGGUGGUGGUGGAGGAGAAGAAUAAGUGUAAUCUGCUGAGGUUUCAAAAGGCAAAUUGAGAGACACUGCUAAAACUAAAAGAGUGAGAAAGAGAGAGGUCAUUGAUGACCCCAUUUUCCCCAUCCUUACUUCUAAAAAUGGGUUUAAUUUGGUUAUGCUCUUAGCAGCCCUCUUCACUCCCUUUAUAUAGACUUUGUUUUAAAGUUACAAUCAUGAUAAAAGUGUGAAGGUGGACCGAACCUUCAGCAGCAUUGAAAAAAGACGUUACGUUUAGGUUAUUAGCAUGGUAUGACAUAAUAAUUCUCUAUUCUCUUCCUUGUCGUUUCCCAUAAAUUUAAUUUAAAUAGUCCAUUUGCUAUAUUUAUAUUUCUGUUUCUCUAUUAAAUAUUUAUCAAAUUCAUUUCUCACUCCUUAUAGAAUAUGAAUAAUUAAUCAUUAAACUCGAUUUAGUAAAUACUUUAAAAAAUGAUUUAUCUUAUUUUUAUGCUUUAAUUAAGGCAUCAAAUCAUUAAUCCCAUUUGAUAUUAUGAAAAUUUAUCACUUAAUUGAUCAAAAUGUGAUUCUUGGCAGGAAAACAUAAUUUACUUUCCUUAAAAUGUAAUUUUUAUUGAGAGUUAUUUUUCCACUAACAAUAGAAAGUGAUUCUCUUUAUAAUUCGUGAAAAAAUUACUUUCACAUGUAAAUAAAAAUUGUUAGGAUAAAAUUAACUUUUCUUUUAUUUAUGUUAAGGUUACUAAUUAACUUAUUCAACUUUAAUAAAAGAUAAACAUAGUUGUAGCUUGUUUGUUGAUGUUAGUUUUUUGUCUUUACAACUUCAAACCAUUAUUCUAGUGUAAUUUUUUUUUCUUUCUAAAUAGUAGAUAAGUAUCUAUAUUUUAUUUUGCUAUAAGAAAAUUAUAUUUUUUAGCAUACAAAACUUAAGAUAACUUGUAGAAUCAAGUAGUUGUAUACCUAUUACUCUAGCAAUAAUAAUAUUGACAUUGUCUACUUUCAAAUUAAAAUUUCAAAUUAGUUCAUUGCCCAAUUUUCUCAUUAAAAAAAAUUAUAUAUAACAUGUCAACUUAACGAAACUUACAUGAAAUUUUGUAUGUGUUAAAAAUGAAAAAUAUGGCGGUUAUUAAAAAAGAUGUCAUACAUCUAAAUCAAACUACUAAUUUAAAAAUUAGUAUUGAGAUAAUUUCAAGCCAUAUAUGCAAUAUUUGAGUAUACUUGAACUUAUACAUACAAAUUAGUGAGGAUUAAAAUUUUGUAAAUUGUACAUCUUCACAAUCUUGCGUUAAUAUACAAUUUUUUUAAUGUAUUAAUAUAAUGUUUUAGAUCAAGACGUGAAAAAACAUAAUUCAAAUAUUUGUUAAUAGUAAAAAAUUAUUAAUAAAUAUUUAAUUCAAAAUUUAUUAAUAAUAAAAAUUAUUGAAAAAUAUUAAAUACGUUAAUAUUAUUUUUAUUUAAUAAUGAUACUUUUGUACAGUAAUCUUAUAUUCCCAAAUAAGUGUUAAAUGUGUCAAGAUUUUAAUCAAUACUUUCCGGUGAUUACCAAACGUUGUGAAGUAACUUCUUAAACAAUAAUAUUCUUAUCAAUCACAUUCCAUUAAAAUUUUAACAUAGAAAAGCACCAAAACGCCCCCUUAAAAUCGUGGUAAGUCUUGUUUGUCUAAAAUUUAAAUAUUUAUUUUAUUAUUUAAAAUAUAUUAAUUUUCUAAAAAAAAUCAUUAAUAUUUAUAUUUCUAAUUUUAAACAUUCUUUUGUUAAUUAAAUGAUAGUCUAAACGGUUAAACUCAAAUCGAAAGCAUUUUAUCUUAUAUUAGAUUAUAUGAAUCAUAUUAUGGUUGAAAGUAAAAUGUAUAAAAUCAAUACAAACAUCAAAUAUUAAACUUCCACUCAAUAGAUUUUAAAAUUUCUAAUUUUAUCACUAAUCUAUUUUAAGAUUUUUUUAAAAAAAAUCGUACUUUAGAUUAUCUAAUUUAAAAUUUUAUAAAAUUAUUAAAAAAUAUUCUUGUAAUAAAAAAAAUUUGUUUUAAAAUUUUUAAUUUUUUAUAUAACCAAUGAAUUUUUUACGUUUGUUUUAACUGGUUAUCUAAACAAAAUAAAAACUUAUUUAGUUUAAAUAAAGUGGUAAAUGUGAAAGCACCACAAAUCACAACUACAUUAGUUUUAUAAUUGGAUUAAUUUAAUCACCGGCAGAGGAAAUGUGUUAGUUCUAGCUACCAACAAUUCAUUUUAAUUCCUUUAAAAAUAUUAGAAAAAACCAAUUUGAUUUUUAAUAAUAGAUCUAAUUACUUAAAGGAACAUGGGUGAUGUGCACAUGGCAUACAAGCAUAAAAAAGAACAAAAAGAUUAAGUAUCUUUGCAAAAUAUCUCUCUCUGAAAUAAAUAAAACUUAAAAAAAAACAAUUUUAUUAUCAAAAUAAAAAGAAAAUAGUGUUUUUCUUCACAAAAAAAGAAAAGAAAAGAAAUACUAGUGUUUUUAAUUAAAAUAGAGUGAUCUGGGUAGAAUCUUUUACUUAAAUACUGACAUUGACUUUAUAAGCUAUUUUUUAUCAAAAGAAGAAAGAGAAAAGCAUCCGAUUGAAGAUGUGAAUUAUUAAGUUAAAAUUAAUCAUACAUGUAAAAUAUUAUUGUGCUUUUUUCUAGCCCUCCGAAAGACAUUAUGCUUUGAUUACAACAUUCUUCCUCAGAGAUGAGGUUUGAAGAUGAACUCGGAUGCAUUUAGAUUUUUACAAGACGAAAGUAAAUUAAAGGAUGUUAGUACUUGUAUUCCGAUACGCUUAUAAUACAGAAAGCAAGUAAUAUGUGACUGUACAUAAUGGCUAUGAGGCGAGGAUAUGAUACGAGAAGAUAGAGAUGAGAGAUUGCACUUAAGGGGUUAGCACCUCUUUUCUUUUUGUGUUUGGUCCCCAAAGCAUAUCUCUUAUUGGCUGAUGUUGCAAGGCGGUCCCAUAAGUUGGGCUAAAAGUGCUUGAUAGCUAGAAUUAAUAUUGUGGUAUAACAUAUGUCACCCCUAUAUUUGAAUAAGGUUACAAAGUGACUACUUGAAGAUUUAAAAAAGCAUGGAGAUAAUUUUGUUGCGAAAAUUAAAAGUAAGAGCUAAAUUGUUUGGCUUUAUUAGAGUAUAGACUCUGUUAGUCUAUUAUCAUUUUGUUAUAUAGGCUGGAAUAUUAUUAGUAAGCAGUUAGCAGCAGUUAGUCAUACAAGUAUAAAUUCUAUUCAUGUAUUGUUCAAAGAUAAGCUAAUAAUACCAGAAGAGAUUUAACAUGUUCAUUCUACUUUUUUUUGUUAUUCUUCAUAAUACAGUUGUUAACAUGGUCUCAGUCGCCAAAUUUCUUGGAGGUUGCUUCUAUUGUAGAUCCAUGGCCAAUUCCACUGAUUCUACCUUCGCUGGUCGUAGCAGUCCCUCAUUCUCAGUUCAUGUUUGGUUCAAUCGUUUCCUCGUCAUGGCACUGUGAAGUUAGAUGAAGGAAAUUUUGUACAAUGGCAACAGCAUAUCCAAUUGAUAAUUGAAGGAUAUGAACUCAUAAGAUUUUUAGAAGGGACGUUACCUGCUCCGCCUCGCUUUGUGUCAUCUCCGGAUGGAAACUUAGCUCUGACUCCCGAUGCAUCCCUGUUUGUUCAGCAAGAUAAGUUACUCGCUUAUUGGUUACUUUUUACGAUUAGUGCUCCUUUGUUUUCUUGUUUUACAACUGCUAAGACGGCGUGUGAGGUUUGGAGCACUGCGAAUUGCCUAUUUGCUGCUGCCACUAGAGCCAAGCUUUCGCGUAUUAAGCAUGAACUCCAGUCCAUCACGAAAGGCGUGAUGACUAUCAAAGAGUAUAUUGCUAAGAUUCAAAAUACUUGUGCGUUACUCGAGGAAUCUAGAUCAGUGGUUUUAAAGGCUGAAAAGGUAGAGAUCAUUCUUGCCGGCCUAUUGUCUGAUUAUGAUGUCGUUUUAACUCUGGCAUCGUUCUCAACUGAAACUUUUUCGUUAUAAAAGAUUGUUGAUAUGCUUCUGGAGUUCGAAAGCCAUCAGACUCAAGCGGUGAACGACGUACCUUUUCAUGCUCAUUUGGUAGAGGCCACUUCGGCGACAUCCGUGGAGGACUCCGUACGUGGUGGUCGUCCUCCUUCUGGUGCUCGUAGGCGCGACUUUCGAUCUCAGCUUCAGUGCCAGGACUAUGGUUGCUAUGGACAUUUGGUACAAUGCUGUUAUUAUCAGUUCAACCGCGACUACAGUGAUCUGUCUGUUUUGACCAUGGCGCGGGUUUCGCCUGUUCAUGCUGAUCACAAUUAGCAUAACGAUGUUUUUGGCGCAAGUGGUCUCUCGACUAGCUGGUUUUCAUCAACUUGUCCUGGUCCGGACCCGUUCGUGCCUGGACAGUAUGUCGAUUCUUUGGUGGUGACACCGGCGUAUUUCUCUUAUGGCUCAUCAUGGUGAGGGUGGCCACAUUUGCAAAACAAUGCCUCCCUUGUGCCAAGUUUGUUGAAUGUUAAGGUUUCUAACCCUUUUGCUCAUAAUUUUGACGAUGGGGCAGGCUAGGUGUUUGGGCUCGCUGUUGGACCAAGCUCAAAUUGUGGCCAAUUUGGUGGUCCUCACUUACCGCGGAGAAUGGGCCAGCACGUUAGGCCAUUUGCUAGUGUUCCUAGGCCGACUGGUUCAGGCCAAGAUUUUGGGCCAUAUGGAAUUCGUAGGCUAACCAGUGCUGGUCCUAACAUUGGACAGGGUUCACUUGGGCCAAAUGUUAAUUUUGUUAGACUUGAGGGCUCUUUUGGGCAUGGACAAGGACUUUGGCCCACCACUGGCAAUGUUUCAGUGCCAAAUAAUGGGUCAUGCGUUCCAUGGCGCACUAAACUGACGGCGCACAUUAUUGAUUGAUUUCUCACUGUGUGUUGGGUUGCCUCACAUUCUUGAUUUUCAUGUGUCUGAUAUUUUUACUACCUCUGGGUCCAAUGCUAACACGACUCCGUAUGGGUCUAAUUUUGAUAAUGAUAACUCUUACAUUCCUAUGCCUGUAGGGACCUUGUCCUGGUGUCUUAAUUCAGGGUCUAUACAUCAUGUCUAUCGAGAAGCCUCUACCUUGAACGAGUCUACGCCAUACUCAGGUACAUCUCCUCUCCUCAUGGAUGAUAUUACUCCUACAAAAAUAUCAUGUGUUGGAAACUCUAUCUUGCCUACGAAGACUAAGCUGUUUCAUCUAUCUAAUGUUUUGUGUGUGCCAAAUAUACGGAAGAAUCUGCUAUCUGUCUCUCAAUUUGCUAAUGACAAUAAUAUGGUCUUUGAAUUUCACCCGUCUUAUUGAGGACAUCCAGACUCAGGAAAUUUUGCUUCGGGGCCACACUCGUGAUGGGCUCUAUUAUUUUUCGUAGGUUACUCAUGUUCCGUCUGUCGUUGUUCCUUCUGUUCACAACACUGGGCUCCAGAGUCGCAAUGCCGGUGAUGAUGUUUUUACGUUAUGGCACUACAGACUUGGUCAUCCGUCUGCCUCGAUUGUUAAACUUGUUCUCGAUAAGUGUCAAGUUGUUUCAACUAAAAUGUACCUUGAAAAUAUUUGUAUUGCUUGUCAAAAGGGGAAGUCCCAUAAACUGUCUUUUUCAAGUUCUACUACUAAAUAUACGGAUUUGUUUGAAUUGGUUGUCUUUGACUUAUGUGGACUGGCAUCUGUUGUCUGUAGAAAUAAUCUGUAUCAUGUUUCGUUUAUCGACAUGUGUAGUUAUUUUACUUGGAUUUAUCUCAUUAAACGUAAUUCUAAGGAGGUUGAAUGUUUUCUUCAGUUUCAGAAAAUGGUCAAAACUCAGUUUGGGAAAGAUAUUAAAAAAAUUCAAAGUGAUUGGGGUGGUGAGUUUCUUGCCUUUACGUCAGUUCUGGCUAGUCAUGGGAUACUUCAUCACCUCUCCUGUCCAUAUACAUCCGAGUAGAACGAUGUAGCUGAACGAAAACAUCGACACAUUGUUGAGAUGAGUCUUAUUCUAUUGGCCAAAGCUAACCUAUCCAUGGAUUUCUGUGGUUUCGUAUUUUACAAUGCCAUUCAUCUCAUUAGUCUUCUACCGACCCUAGUUCUGAAAGGUCAGUCUCCAUAUCAGGUUCUUCAUGGUAGUGACCCUACAUAUGAUCAUUUACAAGUAUUUAAGUGUUGUUGAUUUUCGUACCUGCGUCUGUUUCUGCAACACAAGUUGGAUUUUCAUUCUCAGCCAUGCAUAUUUUUUAGGUAUAGUUCUCAACAUAAAGGCUAUCACUGCCUCACACCAAAUGGUAAGGUCAUUGUCUCUCGUCAUGUUGUGUUUGAUGAACGUUGGUUUUUCUUUUCUUCAAAUGCUGUGAACACCGUUCAGUUAAGUCCAUGUAUCUCUACAUAUGUUCCUAUUGUUCGGUCUUCAUCUUGCCGCCCCACGACAUCUUCGCUUGUUCGACCCACUGAGUCAUCGACUCUUGCUCCUAAUUGUAGUUCCACGCUGUCUGUUUCAGUUGACACUCCGGCUGAAUUAGGUUUUACUCAUGAGGUGCAUCGGCUCUCUACCUCAUCCCUUGAAUCUCGUCAAUGCGAUCCAACUACAAUUCCAUUGGCUGUUCCAUCUAUUUCUCUGGAAUACUCAUAACACUAUUACUCAGCUAGACCCAAAGCUCUGUCUGUUGAAAUUGUCAACUGUGAGUCGAUCACGAUUGAAGAGGCGCUCGCUAGUAAGGAAUGGCAAUUAGUUGUCCAAGCUGAGUUUGUUGCUAUAAUGGUUAACUCCACUUGGGAGCUUGUUCCCUUACCUCAUGGUCGAAAAGUGAUUAGGUGUAAGUGGCUUUUUAAAAUAAAAAAAUCCUGAUGGGACUAUCACUUGACGUAAGGCUCGGUUGGAAGCAAAGGGUUGUUCUCAGGUACUCAGGUGUGAUUUCAAGGAAACCUUUAGUUUGGUAGUUAAACCUGCUACUAUUAGAACCAUAUUAUCUGUUGCUAUCUCCAACGGUUGGCAAUUUGGUCAGGUAGAUGUGAACAAUGCUUUUUUAAAUGGUGAUCUUAUUGACGAAGUGUUCAUGCAGCAACCUCUAGGCUAUGUUCAGAUUGGUCAAAAUGGUGAGCCCUUGGUGUAUCAUUUGACAAAGGUGUUGUACAGAUUAAGACAAGCUCCACGUGCUUGGUUUGAUAAAUUGAAACGUUUUUUUGUUUCUAUUGGAUUUGCUUUAUCCAAAUCUGAUGUAUCCUUAUUUGUUCAAGUUAAUUCGAAUCCACUAUUUAUGUUUUAGUCUAUAUGGAUGAUAUUAUCGUUACUAGAAGUACGAUCGACGGUAUAAAUGGCUGUAUUCAAUAGUUACAUAAUGUGUUUCCCUUAAAGAUAUGGGAGAUCUUUACUACUUCUUAGGCAUUGAAGUCACUCGGUAGUCCACUGGGAGUCUCCAUUUGUGCCAACGCAAAUACAUUCGGGAUCUUCUUGACAGUAGUUUUUUAGCUAAUGCAAAGAGUGUUCACACACCGAUGGUUAGUUCUUUUACGUUGUUUAAAGAUGUGGGAGAUCGCCUCGUUGAUCCUACUGGAUAUAGAAGUCUUGUCGGUGUAUUACAAUAUGUGGUCUUGACUCUGCCUGAUAUUGCUUAUGCUAUAAAUCAUGUUUGUCAAUUCAUGCAUGCCCCUACUACAGUACAUUUGGUGGCUUUGAAAAGAAUCUUGCACUAUUUAUGUGACACUAUUAAUCAUGGGUUAAUUUUGUCUGUUCAACAUAUUGUCUUUAGUUGGCUAUGCUAAUGCCAACUGGGGACUGGAUUUUGAUGAUCGUAAAUCAACAACAAGCUAUUGUUUGUAUUUUGGGUAUACACCCAUCUCUUGGUGAUCUAAGAGACAACUCUACUGCGUGAGGCGAAGUAUUUUGGCCGCACCAUGGCUGAGGUGAAGUAUCGAAGUCUAGCAACAACUACCAGUGAUGUUACUUGGUUAGUCUCUCUACUAACAAAAUUACAGAUUCAUUCUAUAGAUCCACAUACUAUUUGGCGUGACAACUCUAAUGCAGUAGCGGUCAUUGCUAAUCCGGUCUGACACUCUAAAUUUAAACAUGCCAAGCUUGAUCUAUUUUUUGUUCGCGAAAAGGUCGCUAAUGGUUCUCUCGUUGUCGGUGAGAUUCUAGCAUGUGAUUAAGUUGCUGACAUUCUCACAAAACCACUGUUCGUCUCUACUUUUGCUAGGUUUCGUAGUCUGCUUCAAUUCUUACCUCUUGAGAAGCUGGGUGAAGCCAGGUGAAUAUUAGAGUAUAGACUCUGUUAGUCUGUUACCAUUUUGUUAUUCAGGCUGGAAUAUUGUUAGUAAGCAGUUAGUCAUAGCAGUUAGUCAUACAAUUAUAAAUUCUAUUCAUGUAUUGUUCAAAGGUAAGCUAAUAAUACCAAAAGAGAUUUAAUGUGCUCAUUCUACUUUCUUUGUUAUUCUUCAUAAUACAGUUGUUAACAUGCUUGAUAUCAUCUCUUAGAGAGAACGAGGAGAGAUAAGAGUAAGAGUAUGAGCCAACUAGGGAUAAGGCUCUACCAUAAUACCUUGGAUGCAAUUAAAGUAAGAGUAAGAGCCAACUUGUUUGGCUUGAUAGCAUCCCCUUAUAGAAAAGGCUCUACCGCAUGGCAUGAGAGCAAUAAAAGUAACACUCAAUUUCUUGGGUUGAUAGCAUCUCCUUAGGGAAAAGGGUUUACCAUGUGACAUGAAAGCAAUUAAAGUAAGAGUAAGAUCCAACUUGUUUGUCUUAAUAGCAUCAUUUAAGAGAAAUAUCCCAAUCAAUUUAUUCAAAUAUGUUAAUCAAAUAAUGCAAGUUACAAUGUUCUGUCAGUUUUUCCUUUAAUUGUAACUGGGUUAAAGUUGGUAGUUGUAACUGCUACUAAUAGAAUGGAUACGGUAGAAAUGGUUGCAAGCAACAUAAGCAAAGAUGACUUUAAUGUCUUUGUAUUGACCACGUGAGAACUAUAGAAUGCAGAGAAUAGUAUGGUGAUUGGCAACAGAAUGCUACUAACCUUGAGGAUAGUAGACAGGGAUGGAUCCACGGGGGUUGGGGGCGGUCCCCCCUUGGAAUUUUUAAAAUUUUAAAUUUUAUAUAUAAAUUAUCAUGUAUUUUAAAUUUGGUGUCCACAUUGUAUAGCAUUCACCCCCCUUUUCCAAAUUGCAUUUCAUAUCAUUUGCCCUCUUAAGCCAUAAGGUUAUACUUUAUAUUAACAAAGUAUUUUCCAUUUUUUAAUUAUAUAAAUUUAAUAAUAAUAAUAAUAAUCAAAUAUUAAUAUAUGAUUGGCAUUGAAAGACUAAACAUAAAGGUCCAGUUGAGACUUUAAAGCCAAAUUCCAUAAUUAAUUAAUUGAUUUGGCCCAUACCAGUACAUAUUAGGUUAGCGAAAUUCUUGUAUUUUGAUUUGUAUGUCUUGCUAAGGAAUUAUCUUCCUUUGGUAAGGUGUUGACACUGCCAAGAGAAAAAGAAAGGAUUUUGAUGUCGAGAUUGUGAGCAUAGAGUAAAAAAAAUACAAAUUAUCUUCCUCUUAGCUCCUUAUGGAAAAAACCUCUCGGUAAAUAUUUUUGCAUAAAUUAUGUUUUUUAUUAAUUUGACUUAGUUUUUUUCUUUUUUCCUAAUACAUUGUUGUUUAAUAUAUUCUUACAAUCAUCAGGUUUUUUGACUAAAUUAUGGUCAAUAAAAACAUCGAAUCUAUUUAAAAAAAAAGAGUGUCAGAAAGCAAUAAUGAUCAACCGGUUCCUCAACCUUCCAUUAUUAGUGAAGAAAAAUCAAAUAUCGGAUCUUCCAAAGCUCUUGAACAAAAUAUCAGGUCUUCUUAAGCCCAAGCUCCUAAAUGCGGUAUGGAGUCUUCCCCAACUCCUGAACGAGAUUGUAACAAUCCAUACCCAAUUCGAUCACCAAAUCCAAGUAGAGAGCGCCGCAACUUAAACCAUAUGAAUUGAAUAAUAAAUAUUUGAAAUUUAUUAAAGUAUCGAGUUCUUGGUGUAACCCUCAGUAUAACAAUACGAAACAAUUAAAUCAAUGAUACGCCAGGAAAAAAUGUUUUUAGGCAAAACACAUGGCGGAAGCCUUACAAAAUUUUAUAAGUUUAUAUAAAAUGUAAGAUGAGUUAAUCCCAUACAACAGUUUCAAGUGCAUCGUUGGCGGUUAAAAGAACAUUCAAAAACUAUUCGGCGUAUAUGCCAAUGAGACAAUCACGUGGAACAAGAUAUAGUAGCUUAAACACAUACAUCACUUACCACGUCAUCAUAACAUAUACUAACCAUAUAAACAAACUUAUCGAGCUGCGAACUAACAAGUUCACCCAAACAUCUAGGGUUAGCGAUAACUUAUUAGAAGAGCCCGCCAAACCCUAGAGUUCGCCAAAACCUGGAGUUCACCAAAUGGCGACUCCCAUAGAAUACGCCAAACACACAACCAAAAAUAAAUACUCUACUAAUUUACUCAUUUUAUAUUCUUAGCAUAAACAACUAUGCACCAAACAGUAACUUGAUACAUUAUCUUUCGGGCGAGUUGUUACAAUUCUCCCCCAUUUAGAAACUUUUGUCCUUGAAAUUCUUACCGGUGAAUAACUGAGGAUAUUGUUCUUUCAUCGAACUCUCUCUUUCCCAAAUGGCUUCUUUUGUAUUGUGAUUUAUCUAUAAUACAUUAACCAAAGGAAUUCUUUUACUUCUCAACUCUUUUACUUCCCUUGCUAAAAUACAAACAGGUUCUUCUUCAUAGGACAAGUUUUGCUCCACUUCCAGUGCUUUGACUUGUACCACAUAAUCUGGAUUGGAUUGAUAUUUUCUUAACAUAGAUAUAUUAAACACAUUAUGUAUAUUUGAUAACUCUGGUGGCAACACCAGUUUGUAUGCCACUGGACCAACUUAUUCCAAAAUCUCAUAUGGUUCUAUGAAAUGCAGACUUAAUUUCCCUUUUUGUUCAAACCUUAUGAUCUUCUUCCAAAGAGAAAACUUCAUAAAUGCAUUGUCACCCACUUCGAAAGAGAUUAUUUUCCUUUUUAGAUCAGCAUAAGCUUUCUGGCGAUCUUAAGUUACUUUCAGAUGAUUUCUAAUGAUAAAGACUUUCUCUUCUGUUUCUCAUACUAAAUCAAGACCAACUAUUUUCCUUUUACUGAGUCUCAUCCAAUAGGUAGGAGAUCUGCACCUUCGUCUAUACAAAGCUCCAAAUGGUAACAUUCCCAGACUGUCAUAAUAACUAUUAUUAUACGCAAACUCUAGCAAAGGAAGAUAUCUUUCUCAAUUCAUUCUAAAAUCUAUAAUACAACCUCUAAACAUGUCUUCUAGAACUUGAAAUACUCUUUCAAAUUGCUCAUCGAAUUAGGGAUGAAAGGUAGUACAGAAUCAUUAUUUCGUUCCCAACGAUUCUUGCAGUUGUCUCCAAAAUCUCAAUGUAAACAUUGGGUCUCGAUCUGAAACUAUGGAUGUUGGAAUCCCAUGAGGCGUACAACUUCAGAAACGUAGAGAUUAGCCAACUUUUCCAAUAAGUAAUUUGUGCGGACAAACAAGAUAUGGGCUAACUUAGUAAGUCGAUCUACAAUUACCUAGACUGAGUACUUCUUCGAAAGGAUGAGAGGGAGAGCCAAAACAAAAUCCAUGGUGAUCUUAUCCCACUUCCACAUAGAUAUCUCUAAAAGGUACAACUUGCCUAAGGGAACCUGAUGUUCUAUUUUAAUCUGCUGACAUGUCAAACAAAUGGAAAUGUACUUUGUUAUUUCUUUCUUCAUUUCAAGUCAGUAAUACAAACUUAUCAAAUUAUGAUACAUUUUAUGUAAAACUCUCAACCCAACUCGAAAUGUCGAGUCUGGAUCUCGGGUAUUACUAUACAUAAUACUUGGCAAAAUAUCAAAAUAGUUGACAAAUACUCUUUAUAGAAAACAUUUUCUUAUUAUUUUAACCAAAAGACUAAAUAUUUAAUAACAAGAGAAAAUAUUAAAAACAAAAAAAAAUUAUUACAUCAGACUUGGUACAACUCAUUAUAGUAUAAAAUUUUGUUAAAGACAUACUCUUGGGGCAUAACCCUAAUCUAAGCCACUUUUCCACUAUAUGCAUAAUAACCCACUUCGCCACUAUCUUGGCGUACUCCUAGCAUCGUCACUCCUAAUGCAUUCUCUACCCAUACACCUGAAAACAACAACAUUUUAAGCUUAAGAUAACUUAGUGACUUUUAUCCCAAAAAUACCUUGGCGAGUACUUUAUAUUAUUUGAAGAACAUUUGUGCGCCAUCUAUCCUUCUGAACCACCUUCUUCUGAAUUAAGUGGAUACUAUUAUAGAUUCAACUUUCACUUACACGCCAACUAUCAUACUCUUAACAAACUCACUUAUUCUAGAAUAGUUGUUCACAUAUAUUAAUCACUAAUUGAUACAUUCAUAUUUGGCGAAUACUUACGCAGAUCUGAAUACCAUCAAACUACUAAUCAAAUCAUACCUUGAUCCGAUACCAUACAAACUCAUACUGAUAAUGUACUACACAAAUUAUUCAAAUGAAUUUUCCACUACUUUGUUACAGGACCCCAGAUAAUCAUCAUAACAAUAACUCAAUUUUCAUAUGAUUUCAGAAGAAGAUAUAAUACAACCCAAAUACGGCAAAUUCCAGAUAACUCAGAUUCAACAACUGCUUAACACAUACGAACUCACAUUUAUAAUUUCUUAUGUCCCACAUAACUACGACUAUGUCUAUAUUCAACACUAACAAAUAAUCAUGACGGAUACCCUUCUUAUACAUAUAUGCAUUUCUUUUCUAGAAAUCUCUUAAGACUUACUCAAUUAUAUCACAUAUCUUAUUCAACCCUUAACUUUAGACAUAUCAUAACCCUAUCAUAUCAAUAUCUAUCACAAAAAAAAUCAGGAUUUAUCCAAAACUUACCAUAAAGGUAGAUAAUCAUAUUAUAUCAGACAAACUUAACUAAAUGUGCCACAAAGGCCAAACAAAAUAUGCCUUAAAGGCUUCAUACAAAAUCACGUGUUUACUAUCCCGACGGACUAUCACAAAAGGUGUCAUGGGUUUCUCCCACAUGGACUUAUACAUAAUUUCAUGUAUUGUGAUCUGCCAUUUUGAAUCAUACGUUAUCGAAGGAUACUCCAUAAGCAUACAUACAGACAUAUCUUGCCAUGUGUCUCAGCCACAUGGCUUAAACACACAUUCAUGUACUGUGAUAUGUCAAUCCAGUCUUACUCUUAUUAGAGCCUACACCAUGAGUGUUUUCAAAUCAUAUUAAGAUGUUGUAGGUCUCAACCUCAUAGUCUUACACUUGUUUUCAUAUCGUGACCUGCCAGUCUAGUUAGCAAUAUAAUUGCCUACCAGAGGCUUCAUAGAGGAACAUUUGCUUAGAUUCACUUACCUAGAUGAUCUGUAACACCCCUUACCCGAGACCGUUGUCAGAGUCGAGCACGAGGUAUUACUUAUCUUAUCUUACUAACUCGAAGCAUAAAAACUUGUUUUAAAAAUUAAUUUCACUAUUUAUAGCAAUUUGUCCAAUCGCGCAGCAGUUACUAAAUUAAUUAUAACUCGAGAUACGGAACUUGAAAUUUAACUCCGUAAAUUUUCCCUGAAACUAGACUCAUAUAUCUUCCUACCAUAAAAAUUUUAGGAUUUUUAGUUUAUCAAAUUAGUACAGUUUAUUAGUUAAAUUCUCCCCUGUUUCACAAAUCGACUGCCCUGACCUCUUAUCACUAAAAAUAAAAUGUAUCAUUGUGGGAUUUUCGUAUAGUGCUACCGCUUGCUUCUACAGAAAAUAGACUCAAUAAGGAAUCUAUACAUAUAAACUACAACUCAUAAAUAUUUUUUUAAAAUUUUUAAUGAUUUUAUAAACUCAAAACAGGGGUCACCAAAAACUGUUCUAACCCUGUCUCACCAAAAUUCACAUAUCUUAAAAUAUAAAUUCCUUUUGCUACACCGUUAUUUUUAUGUGAAAAUAGACUCAACAAGAUUUAUGUCAUUCAAUAUUUAAUUCAUUUUAUACUAUCCUAGGUGAUUUUUCAAAGUCACGUCACUGUUGCUGCCUGAAUUCUGUUUCUUUGCAAAAUUUUACCCUUUUAUGAUUUCCAUGCAUAGUUUAUCACUUAGACUCUUAUAACAACAAACACUUCCAUACUUAACCAUUUUAGCAACCAUUCAUCAUCAAAUACUUACACAUCAUUCUUUAGCAAGAUCAUAAAUACAAACAUUUAAAAUAACUAAAUCCCUUUACAUUCCAUACUCAACAUGGUUCAACAUAAAAAUACCGAGUUGCUGUGGUUGAUAGUGUGGACGAUCUCCGACUUCUUUAGGAUCCUUGAAGUAACCUUGCAAUACUAUAAGAGAAAGAGAAAUAAAAGACGUAAGCAUAAAGCUUAGUAAGUUUACUAGCAAAUAAAUAACAAUAUUUAACUAGAUAAUUAAACUCAAGUGUCUAUAUCUCUAGUUUACUAUUUAGUUAAUCUCAUUCUAGUUCUCUUGCUUGUUUACUUAGUAUACUUGUGUGCAUAACUUACUCCUCUCUUGCUGUAUAGUUGAAUAUCAAUUGAUAAUAUAAUAAGUUAUUAACUCUUAUAACUUACCUGAACUUGCCAUUUAUGUUUUUAACUGAACUUUCCUGAACAUGAUUCGUUAUUUAGCCCGUUGAGCUACAUUGGAACAAUAAGGAUACUCGGGUCUCUUCUGAUAAUAACAUGCCAAAGCCAUGUCCCAGACAUGGUCUUACAUGGGAUGUACUCAUGUCGGUGCCCAUUCCAUAUCCCAGACAUGGUCUUACGGGGGACCUCUCAUCUCGGUGCCAAUGCCAUGUCCCAGACAUGGUCUUACAUGGGACCUCUCAUCUCGGUGCCAACGCCAUGUCCCAGACAUGGUCUUACAUGGGACCUCUCAUCUCGGUGCCAACGCCAUGUCCCAGACAUGGUCUUACAUGGGACCUCUUUACCCAAAUGUCAUGACAUUCGUAUCCAGUACCAUCCUUACUAUUCAUGACAACCGAUAUAUAUAUAUACAUACUCACUAUUCACAAGGACUCGAACGAUUAUAUACUCAUCAACCACCUUAAAACAAUGUUCAUAAACUUAUCCAUUUCAUAUAAACAAAAGCAUAUAUAUUUAUAACCAAUGCAUAGAAUCACUUAAUUUAAACAGAUUCACUGGCACUUCACCUGAUAGGCUUAUAGUUUAAUUCAGUUCACCGGCACUUAGCCUACUAGGCUUGUAGCCUGAUUCAGUUCACCGGCACUUAGCCUGCUAGACGUAUAGUCCGAUUCAAUUCACCGGCAUUUAGCCUGCUAGACGUAUAGUCUGAUUCAAUUUACCGGCACUUAGCCUGCUAGACGUAUAGUCUGAAUAAUUUUACUGGUAAUAAAUCCGAUAGUAAUUUCUCCGUUGAAAUUGAAUUAUAUUCAAUUCUGCGUAACAAACAUGCACUUAAAACAUACUUGCAUAAUUCACAACAAUAAUUUCAGUCCAAAGAGCUGUAAUUCAUAUUCGAACUAUAUAUAUAUAAAUCCAUACAUAAAAAUUCAACUCAAAAUUUAUAACCUAUAUCUUUGAACCACAUAGGUACAUGAAAUUCAAACACCAAAAUCCAGCUCAAUAACUUCAUGAUUCAACCUAACAAAUUUAUGUAUAUAACUUUUUAUCUAAUUUCAAUACAAUAACUUAUACAUGUACGUAUAUACAUAUUCGAAUCUAACAUAUACAUAUAUAAUUUCAUACUUAAAUAUAUUCAAGACUUAUUCAUGAGUAUACAUAUAUAUUACAACUCACAUGUACAUAUAUAUACACAUUCAUACCUUUAACCAAGUCCAAGGCUUUAUACAUGUAUAUGCUUAUAUAUAUAUAUUCGGACCUUAUGUUUACAUAUAUAUAUUAUAUAAAUACCUUUGAUUAAAAACAAGUAUUUAUACAUAUAUAUAUUUUCGAACAUGAUACAUAUAUAUUUAUAUCAUUCAUACUUAAACAAAAUUCAAUCCAUAUACUUUCAAUUUCAGCUCACCAAAUUACUAUAGAUAUACAUGCAUAUAUACUGAUUUAAUAACCUCAAAUUGCUAAUAGACUUACCUCGGAUAUCAGCGGACACGAUCGAGUAUUCGAUUACUUUCGUUUUUCCCCGAUCCAAAUUCGUUUUCUUCGUUUUUUAUCUUAAUUAGACCUAGAGAUAGCCGAACCUUGUUGUUCUCUUUUCUUUUCUUUUCUUUUUCUUUUCUAUAUUCGGCCAAGAUGAAGAACAUGGCAUUUAAAAUUUGUUAUAUUAAACAUAUAUUAGCCUUAUUUUUAAUUUACUAUAUUAACCUUUACAUAUAUAUAACAUAUAUAAUAAGGUUACAUUAGUCCUUUGCCACCCACUAACUUACAUAGUGGACUAAUUGCAUAGUAAAACCUCUAAAUUAUAAAGACAACAAGAAUUAGGUCCUUUUAUAAUUAACCCCUAAAUUUUCAUUUUACGCGAUUAAGCCCUUUUAUUAAAUCGGACACUUAAACGACGAAAUUAAAACACGAAAAUUUCACACAAUCAAAUGCAUACAAAACAAUAUUAAUAAUAUUUUUCUAAUUCAAAUUUGUGGUCCCGAAACCAGUAUUCUGAUUAGGGUCAAAAACCGGGUUGUUACAACUCUCCCCCCUUAGGGAUUUUCGUCCCCGAAAAUCUUACCGGUGAAUAGGUUUGGAUAACGCUCUUUCAUUGUAUCUUCUAACUCCCAAGUUGCUUCUUCAACCCCAUGUUUAUGCCACAACACUUUAACUAACGGAAUUUUCUUAUUUCGUAAUUCUUUGAUCUCACGAGCCAGAAUGCUAAUCGGUUCUUCCUCAUAUGUCAUAUCAGAGUUAAUUUCAAUCUCCGUCGGACUAAUCACAUGUGAAGGAUCAGAUCGGUAUCUACGAAGCAUCGAAACAUGGAAUACGUUAUGAAUCUUUUCUAACUCAGGCAGUAACAUCAAUCUAUAAGCAACCAAUCCAACUCGCUCUAUAAUCUCAUACGGUCCAAUGAAUCUCGGACACAAUUUGCCUUUACGACCAAAUCUGAGUAUUUUCUUCCACGGUGAGACUUUUAAAAACACUUUAUCCCCGAUCUGAAAUUCUAUAUCCUUUCUUUUCAAAUUCGCAUAAGAUUUCUGACGAUCCGAUGCUGAUUUCAGACUGUCCCGAAUCACUUUCACUUUCUGUUCGGUCUCUUUAAUCAAAUCAACCCCGUGUAUCUUAUUUUCACUGAGCUCGGUCCAAUACAGUGGUGUACGACAUUUACAACCGUACAAAGCCUCAUAAGGUGCCAUUUUGAUACUAGAUUGAAAGCUAUUAUUAUAAGCAAAUUCAAUCAAAGGUAAGUAUCGUUCCCACGUACCUUCAAACUCGAGAAUGCAACAUCUCAACAUAUCCUCAAGUAUCUGAAUGAUUCAUUCAGAUUGACCAUCUGUCUGCGGAUCGAAAGCUGUGCUAAAAUGUAGUUUCGUACCUAAAGCAUCUUGUAGUUUCUUCCAAAAUCGCGAUGUGAAUCUCAGAUCUCUGUCUGAAACAAUAGAAAUAGGUACACCAUGCAACCUCACAAUUUGUGAAAUAUACAAUUCCGCAAGUUUAUCGAGCGAAAAAUCUGUACGAAUCGAAAUAAAAUGUGUCGAUUUUGUCAACCUAUCAACAAUAACCCAGAUUGCAUCUAUCUUGCUCGGUGUCAACGGUAAAUCGGAUACAAAAUCCAUCGUGACUCGAUCCCAUUUCCAUUGAGGUAUCAUGAUCGGCUGAAGCAACCCAGAUGGUACCUGAUGCUUGGCUUUAACUUGCUGACAAAUUAAACAUUUCGAAACAAAGUCAGAAAUGUCUCGUUUCAUACCUUGCCACCAAUAGUGCUGUUUCAGAUCGUUAUACAUUUUCGUGCUACCCGGAUGAACAGAAAAUCGACUACUAUGAGCUUCCUUCAAAAUCAUCUAAAUUAACUCUGAUUUUUUCGGAACACAUAAUCGGUUUCUAAAUCUCAAACAAUCCUCAGCAUCAACUAAAAACUCCGAAUCAAUAUUUAAGUCACAUUGAGCUCGUUUUGCAGUUAAAUCAUUAUCGACCUUUUGAGCUUCACAAAUCUGUUGUACAAAUAACGGUUUUGCUUUCAACUCAGCUACUAUCGCACCAUCAUCAGACAUAACCAUAUGUGCGUUCAUUGCACGCAAAGCAAACAGUGAUUUUCGACUUAGGGCAUCAGCAACAACAUUAGCCUUUCCCGGAUGAUAGUCAAUCACAAGCUCGUAUUCUUUCAGCAAUUCUAACCAUCGACGCUGUCUCAAAUUCAGAUAUUUCUGAGUCAUCAAAUAUUUCAGGCUUUUGGGAUCGGAAUAAACAUGACAUCUUUCACCAAACAGAUAGUGACGCCAUAUUUUUAACGCAAAUACAAUAGCGGCCAAUUCCAGAUCAUGUGUCGGAUAGUUUUUUUCAUGCGGCUUUAACUGUCUCAAGGCAUAGGCUACAACUUUGCCUUCCUACAUCAAAACACAACCCAAACCAUUUAAAGAUGCAUCACUAUAGAUAACAAACUCUUUACCCGAUUCGGGUUGAACUAAGACUGGAGCUUCGGUCAAAAGAACUUUCAACUGAUCAAAGUUUUUCUGACACUUUUCUGACCACUCGAACUUAACGUCUUUUUGUAGUAGCUUUGUCAUCGGGGUCGCAAUCAUAGAAAACCCUUUCACGAACCGUCUAUAAUAACCAGCGAGCCCCAGAAAGCUUCGAACAUCAGAGACAUUUCUCGGAGGUUUCCAAUCAAGUAUAGCUGAAAUUUUACCUGGAUCAACUCGAAUACCCGAUGCUGACACAACAUGGCCCAGAAAACUAACUUCACGUAACCAGAACUCGCAUUUACUGAACUUUGCAUACAACUGUUUAUCUCGCAAAGUUUGUAACACAAGUCUCAGAUGUUCAGUAUGCUCGGUUUCAUCACGAGAGUAGAUCAAAAUAUCAUCUAUAAAUACUACCACAAAUCGAUCCAGAUACUGUCUAAAAAUCUGAUUCAUCAAAUCCAUGAAAACAGCAGGUGCAUUAGUAAGUCCAAAAGGCAUAACCAAGAACUCAUAAUGUCCGUACCUCGUUCGGAAAGCUGUCUUUGGCACAUCAGAGUCUUUAACUCGCAACUGAUAGUAGCCUGAUCUCAGAUCUAUCUUCGAAAACACAGUAGCCCCUUUCAACUGAUCGAACAAAUCAUCAAUCCGUGGUAACGGAUACUUAUUCUUUAUAGUCACCUUAUUGAGUUGCCGGUAAUCAAUGCACAUUCUCAUUGUUCUGUCUUUCUUUUUCACAAAUAGAACUGGUGCACCCCAAGGAGAGAAACUCGGUCGUGUAAAACCUUUAUCAGUCAACUCUUGCAACUGUACUUUCAAUUCUUUUAAUUCGGUCGGUACCAUACGGUACGGAGCUAUCGAAAUUGGAGUUGUCCCUGGUACUAACUCAAUACCAAACUCUACCUCUCGAAUAGGUGGCAAACCCGGUAAUUCUUCGGGAAACACGUCUGAAUACUUACACACUACUGGCACAGAUUCAAUCUUCUUUUCGGUCACUUUACUAUCAAGAAAAAAUGCAAGGUAAUCUUCACAACCUUUUCUCACAUACUUCUGAGCCGACAUCGAGGAUAUUAUUGCUGGUAAACCAUUCAGAUCAUUAGAUUCAAUCCGAAUAAUCUCAUCAUUCUGACACCGUAGAUCAAUAGUUUUCCGUUUGCAGUUUACUAUAGCAUUAUGCAGAGUUAACCAAUCCAUACCCAGAAUUAUAUCAAACUCGUCAAAUGGUAGCAACAUCAAAUCAGCCAGAAAACAUAAAUCUCGAAUCAUCAACGGACAAUUCUUGCACACUUUGUCAACCAAAACACACCGGCCCAAGAGGUUCAAUACUUUAAUUACAAACUCAGUAGACUCAACAGGCAAAGUCUUACUGAAUACUAAAGUCUCACACACAUAAGAAUGAGUCGAACCAAGAUCAAUCAAUGCAAUAACAUUAGUAUCAUAAAGAGUGAAAGUACCAGUAAUAACAUCUGGAGAAGAAGCCUCCUCCCGAGCACGGAUGGCAUAUGCUCUGGCAAGUGCACGAGCCUCAGAUCGAACUGCCAUGUCCUUUGUUCCUCUCUGACUGCCACUUACAUUACUCAAUUGCCUCGGCGGUCUACCUCGUACAGGUACUUUACUCGGUCUGGUAUUCUACACAGUGUUUUGCUCAGCUACCAUCGGACACUCUCGAAUGAAAUGAUCCUUUGAACCGCACUUAAAGCAAGACCGAUCAUGUAAUCUGCAAUCUCCAGGAUGCCAUUUCCCACAAUGCUUGUACUCUGAUCUAUUUUGUCGAACACUACCAACGCUAGCAACUGAAGUAGCUCGUGAACUCACAGGGGGUCGAUCUCGAUCAUACUUAGGAAACCCUGCAGUAGCUUUAGAUCGGCUAUGAUCCUCUCUGGAUUUCAUUGAGGUCGACUGGAAUGAUUUACUGAAUGAUCUUUUACGAGAAUCUCGAGCUUCAUAGCCAGCUUUCCUCUUCUCUUUACUGAGCUCCUUAACUUUACAAGGUCGUUCAACAAGUACUACGAACUCUUUUAUCUCAAGUAUACCAAAUAACAGUUUAAUAUCUUCAUCCAGCCCAUCUUCAAAUCUUUUACACAUGAUAGCUUCAGUCGAAAUACAUUCUCGAGCAUAUCUACUGAGUCUCACAAAUUUCCGCUCAUAUUCUAUCACUGUCAUACGACCCUGUUUCAAUUCAAGAAAUUCCUUAUGCUUCUGAUCAAUGAAUCUUUGGCUGAUGUAUUUCUUACAGAACUCAAUCUGAAAGAAUUCCCAGGUCACUCGCUCUUUCGGAACCACCGAUACUAGUGUAUUCCACCAGUGAUAUGCAGUGUCCCGUAGCAAAGAUAUGGCACAUUUCAAGUACUCAUCAGGGGUGCAAGAUAACUCAUCAAACACUCGAAUAGUAUUAUCAAGCCAGAAUUCAGCUUGCUCAGCAUCAUCAUCAUCAGUAGCUCUGAACUCUUCGACCCCGUGUUUUCAAAUUUAGUCAACAGGAGGCUUAAGUAAUCUCAUCGGAUCACUUACUUGAGGUAUAAUAGGAAUCGAAGGUGGAUUAGUCGGGGGUGGAGUUUGUUGUGCAACCGGAUUAGUUCGGACAUAUUGAGUAAACCAGUCAUUCAUCAUUUGGUAGAAGGCUUGUUUAGCCUCUCCCUCCUGGUUACUCGAGGUCGGUCGAGAAUCUACCAGCUCUGUCCCUUGUGUGGGAGCAGGCGCUAUACUCUCAACAUCAUCGACUACGGCUGGAUCGGGAUCCAUUACUAUACGAAAACACAUUUUUAGACAUCAGCAGUCAUCGCACUAUCUUGGUAUAAAAAUAUGGCAUGUAUAGCUAGACUCAUACAUGCUACAUUAGUCCAAGAAUCGAUUAAACCGUAGCUCUGAUACCAAUAAAAUGUAACACCCCUAACCCGUAUCCGUCGCCGAAUUAGGGUUACGAGGCAUUACUGAACAAAUACAACCAUUUUUAAAACCAACUGAUCACAAACAUGAAAAUUAAAUCAUUUUCACAUAGCUAUUUAUAAUUUACAAUCAACAUCUAACCAACAUCGUACUCAAACCUAUACAUGCCAUAAGAUCAAGUUCAAAUAUUUAACAAAAUACCAAAAGGGGUCGAAAGUGUGAUAGACUAUGCUGAUGAUCCCCGAGCUCGUAACGCAUCUCCAAAAUCUAUAAAAACAAAUGGACAAAAACAAUCAAAGUAAGCUUUUAUAGCUUAGUAAGUCUAUAGCAUAUCUAAAAUACAUAUAAAAGAAUCAUAUAAUUCUUAAAAUAAAUUUAUUGAAAUCACAAUUAUCAAUUAUAAUUACUAAUCGAACAUUGCUAUAUUAAGUCAUCUUGUUUAAAUCUAAAAGGAUGUGUAUUUAUCUAAUACACAUGAACGGACAAAUGUAUAUACAUUAUAUGCAUAUAAUCAAUUUACUAACAUAAUCAUUAAUUGCAUAUACGGAUUUCUAUAGUACUUAUUGUUCGCACUUAAUCGGAUCCAUUUAAAUAUAAUUGUUCAAAUACAUAUACCAAAAGCAUAAUAAUUUUAUACUUGAUCAACUAUAAGUGCCGAAUGCACAUAUACACCUAUACCCACCUAUGCCGAAUGCAUACAUAUAUACACAUAUAUAUAUAUCCAACAAUUUCGUGACAACCGAUAUAUAUAUACAUACUCACUAUUCACAAGGACUCGAACGAUUAUAUACUCAUCAACCACCUUAAAACAAUGUUCAUAAACUUAUCCAUUUCAUAUAAACAAAAGCAUAUAUAUUUAUACCCAAUGCAUAGAAUCACUUAAUUUAAACAGAUUCACUAGCACUUCACCUGAUAGGCUUAUAGUUUAAUUCAGUUCACCGGUACUUAGCCUACUAGGCUUGUAGCCUGAUUCAGUUCACCGGCACUUAGCCUGCUAGACGUAUAGUCCGAUUCAAUUCACCGGCAUUUAGCCUGCUAGACGUAUAGUCCGAUUCAAUUUAUCGGCACUUAGCCUGCUAGAUGUAUAGUCUGAAUAAUUUUACUGGUAAUAAAUCCGAUAGUCAUUUCUCCGUUGAAAUUGAAUUAUAUUCAAUUCUGCGUAACAAACAUGCACUUAAAACAUACUUGCAUAAUUCACAACAAUAAUUUCAGUCCAAAGAGCUGUAAUUCAUAUUCGAACUAUAUAUAUAAAUCCAUACAUAAAAAUUCAGCUCAAAAUUUAUAACCUAUAUCUUUGAACCACAUAGGUACAUGAAAUUCAAACAACAAAAUCCAGCUCAAUAACUUCAUGAUUCAACCUAACAAAUUUAUGUAUAUAACUUUUUAUCUAAUUUCAAUACAAUAACUUAUACAUGUACGUAUAUACAUAUUCGAAUCUAACAUAUACAUAUAUAAUUUCAUACUUAAAUAUAUUCAAGACUUAUUCAUGAGUAUACAUAUAUAUUACAACUCACAUGUACAUAUAUAUACACAUUCAUACCUUUAACCAAGUCCAAGGCUUUAUACAUGUAUAUGCUUAUAUAUAUAUAUAUUCGGACCUUAUGUUUACAUAUAUAUUAUAUAUAAAUACCUUUGAUUAAAAACAAGUAUUUAUACAUAUAUAUAUUUUUGAACAUGAUACAUAUAUAUAUUUAUAUCAUUCAUACUUAAACAAAAUUCAAUCCAUAUACUUUCAAUUUCAGCUCACCAAAUUACUAUAGAUAUACAUGCAUAUAUACUGAUUUAAUAACCUCAAAUUGCUAAUAGACUUACCUCGGAUAUCAGCGGACACGAUCGACUAUUCGAUUACUUUCGUUUUUCCCCGAUCCAAAUUCGUUUUCUUCGUUUUUUUAUCUUAAUUAGACCUAGAGAUAGCCGAACCUUGUUGUUCUCUUUUCUUUUCUUUUCUUUUUCUUUUCUAUAUUCGGCCAAGAUGAAGAACAUGGCAUUUAAAAUUUGUUAUAUUAAACAUAUAUUAGCCUUAUUUUUAAUUUACUAUAUUAACCUUUACAUAUAUAUAUAACAUAUAUAAUAAGGUUACAUUAGUCCUUUGCCACCCACUAACUUACAUAGUGGACUAAUUGCAUAGUAAAACCUCUAAAUUAUAAAGACAACAACAAUUAGGUGCUUUUAUAAUUAACCCCUAAAUUUUCAUUUUACGCGAUUAAGCCCUUUUAUUAAAUCGGACACUUAAACGACGAAAUUAAAACACGAAAAUUUCACACAAUCAAAUGCAUACAAAAUAAUAUUAAUAAUAUUUUUCUAAUUCAAAUUUGUGGUCCCGAAACCAGUAUUCUGAUUAGGGUCAAAAACCGGGUUGUUACAACUCUCCCCCCUUAGAGAUUUUCGUCCCCGAAAAUCUUACCGGUGAAUAGGUUUGGAUAACGCUCUUUCAUUGUAUCUUCUGACUCCCAAGUUGCUUCUUCAACCCCAUGUUUAUGCCACAACACUUUAACUAACGGAAUUUUCUUAUUUCGUAAUUCUUUGAUCUCACGAGCAAGAAUGCUAAUCGGUUCUUCCUCAUAUGUCAUAUCAGAGUUAAUUUCAAUCUCCGUCGGACUAAUCACAUGUGAAGGAUCAGAUCGGUAUCUACGGAGCAUCGAAACAUGGAAUACGUUAUGAAUCUUUUCUAACUCAGGCAGUAACAUCAAUCUAUAAGCAACCAAUCCAACUCGCUCUAUAAUCUCAUACGGUCCAAUUAAUCUCGGACACAAUUUGCCUUUACGACCAAAUCUGAGUAUUUUCUUCCACGGUGAGACUUUUAACUUGCUCGGUGUCAACGGUAAAUCGGAUACAAAAUCCAUCGUGACUCGAUCCCAUUUCCAUUGAGGUAUCAUGAUCGGCUGAAGCAAUCCAGAUGGUACCUGAUGCUCGGCUUUAACUUGCUGACAAAUUAAACAUUUCGAAACAAAGUCAGAAAUGUCUCGUUUCAUACCUUGCCACCAAUAGUGCUGUUUUAGAUCGUUAUACAUUUUCGUGCUACCCGGAUGAACAGAAAAUCGAAUACUAUGAGCUUCCUUCAAAAUCAUCUGAAUUAACUCUGAAUUUUUCGGAACACAUAAUCGGUUUCUAAAUCUCAAACAAUCCUCAGCAUCAACUAAAAACUCCGAAUCAAUAUUUAAGUCACAUUGAGCUCGUUUUGCAGUUAAAUCAUUAUCAACCUUUUGAGCUUCACAAAUCUGUUGUACAAAUAACAGUUUUGCUUUCAACUCAGCUACUAUCGCACCAUCAUCAGACAUAACCAUAUGUGCGUUCAUUGCACGCAAAGCAAACAGUGAUUUUCGACUUAGGGCAUCAGCAACAACAUUAGCCUUUCCCGGAUGAUAGUCAAUCACAAGCUCGUAAUCUUUCAGCAAUUCUAACCAUCGACGCUGUCUCAAAUUCAGAUAUUUCUGAGUCAUCAAAUAUUUCAGGCUUUUGGGAUCGGAAUAAACAUGACAUCUUUCGCCAAACAGAUAGUGACGCCAUAUUUUUAACGCAAAUACAAUAGCGGCCAAUUCCAGAUCAUGCGUCGGAUAGUUUUUUUCAUGCGGCUUUAACUGUCUCAAGGCAUAGGCUACAACUUUGCCUUCCUACAUCAAAACACAACCCAAACCAUUUAAAGAUGCAUCACUAUAGAUAACAAACUCUUUACCCGAUUCGGGUUGAACUAGGACUGGAGCUUCGGUCAAAAGAACUUUCAACUGAUCAAAGUUUUUCUGACACUUUUCUGACCACUCGAACUUAACGUCUUUUUGUAGUAGCUUUGUCAUCGGGGUCGCAAUCAUAGAAAACCCUUUCACGAACCGUCUAUAAUAACCAGCGAGCCCCAGAAAGCUUCGAACAUCAGAGACAUUUCUCGGAGGUUUCCAAUCAAGUAUAGCUGAAAUUUUACUUGGAUCAACCUGAAUACCCGAUGCUGACACAACAUGGCCCAGAAAACUAACUUCACGUAACCAGAACUCGAAUUUACUGAACUUUGCAUACAACUGUUUAUCUCGCAAAGUUUGUAACACAAGUCUCAGAUGUUCAGUAUGCUCGGUUUCAUCACGAGAGUAGAUCAAAAUAUCAUCUAUAAAUACUACCACAAACAGAUCCAGAUACUGUCUAAAAAUCUGAUUCAUCAAAUCCAUGAAAACAGCAGGUGCAUUAGUAAGUCCAAAAGGCAUAACCAAGAACUCAUAAUGUCCGUACCUCGUUCGGAAAGCAGUCUUUGGCACAUCAGAGUCUUUAACUCGCAACUGAUAGUAGCCUGAUCUCAGAUCUAUCUUCGAAAACACAGUAGCCCCUUUCAACUGAUCGAACAAAUCAUCAAUCCGUGGUAACGGAUACUUAUUCUUUAUAGUCACCUUAUUGAGUUGCCGGUAAUCAAUGCACAUUCUCAUUGUUCCGUCUUUCUUUUUCACAAAUAGAACUGGUGCACCCCAAGGAGAGAAACUCGGUCGUGCAAAACCUUUAUCAGUCAACUCUUGCAACUGUACUUUCAAUUCUUUUAAUUCAGUCGGUGCCAUACGGUACGGAGCUAUCGAAAUUGGAGUUGUCCCUGGUACUAACUCAAUACCAAACUCUACCUCUCGAAUAGGUGGCAAACCCGGUAAUUCUUCGGGAAACACGUCUGAAUACUUACACACUACUGGCACAGAUUCAAUCUUCUUUUCGAUCACUUUACUAUCAAGAAAAAAUGCAAGGUAAUCUUCACAACCUUUUCUCACAUACUUUUUUGCCGACAUCGAGGAUAUUAUUGCUGGUAAACCAUUCAGAUCAUUAGAUUCAAUCCGAAUAAUCUCAUCAUUCUGACACCGUAGAUCAAUAGUUUUCCGUUUGCAGUUUACUAUAGCAUCAUGCAGAGUUAACCAAUCCAUACCCAGAAUUAUAUCAAACUCGUCAAAUGGUAGCAACAUCAAAUCAGCCAGAAAACAUAAAUCUCGAAUCAUCAACGGACAAUUCUUGCAUAUUUUGUCAACCAAAACACACCGGCCCAGGGGGUUCAAUACUUUAAUUACAAACUCAGUAGACUCAACAGGCAAAGUCUUACUGAAUACUAAAGUCUCACACACAUAAGAAUGAGUCGAACCAAGAUCAAUCAAUGCAAUAACAUUAGUAUCAUAAAGAGGGAAAGUACCAGUAAUAACAUCUGGAGAAGAAGCCUCCUCUUGAGCACGGAUGGCAUAUGCUCUGGCAAGUGCACGAGCCUCAGAUCGAACUGCCAUGUCCUUUGUUCCUCUCUGACUGCCACUUACAUUACUCAAUUGCCUCGGUGGUCUACCUCGUACUGGCACUUUACUCGGUCUGGUAUUCUGCACAGUGUUUUGCUCAGCUACCAUCGGACACUCUCGAAUGAAAUGAUCCUUUGAACCGCACUUAAAGCAAGACCGAUCAUGUAAUCUGCAAUCUCCAGGAUGCCAUUUCCCACAAUACUUGUACUCUGAUCUAUUUUGUCGAACACUACCAACGCUAGCAACUGAAGUAGCUCGUGAACUCACAGGGGGUCGAUCUCGAUCAUACUUAGGAAACCCUGCAGUAGCUUUAGAUCGGCUAUGAUCCUCUCUGGAUUUCAUUGAGGUCGACUGGAAUGAUUUACUGAAUAAUCUUUUACGAGAAUCUCGAGCUUCAUAGCCAGCUUUCCUCUUCUCUUUCCCGAGCUCCUCAACUUUACAAGGUCGUUCAACAAGUACUACGAACUCUUUUAUCUCAAGUAUACCAAAUAACAGUUUAAUAUCUUCAUCCAGCCCAUCUUCAAAUCUUUUACACAUGAUAGCUUCAGUCGAAAUACAUUCUCGAGCAUAUCUACUGAGUCUCACAAAUUUCCGCUCAUAUUCUAUCACUGUCAUACGACCCUGUUUCAAUUUAAGAAAUUACUUACGCUUCUGAUCAAUGAAUCUUUGGCUGAUGUAUUUCUUACAGAACUCAAUCUGAAAGAAUUCCCAGGUCACUCGCUCUUUCGGAACCACCGAUACUAGUGUAUUCCACCAGUGAUAUGCAGUGUCCCGUGGCAAAGAUAUGGCACAUUUCAAGUACUCAUCAGGGGUGCAAGAUAACUCAUCAAACACUCGAAUAGUAUUAUCAAGCCAGAAUUCAUCUCGCUCAGCAUCAUCAUCAUCAGUAGCUCUGAACUCUUCGACCCCGUGUUUUUGAAUUUUGUCAAUAGGAGGCUUAAGUAAUCUCAUCGGAUCACUUACUUGAGGUAUAACAGGAAUCGAAGGUGGAUUAGUCGGGGGUGGAGUUUGUUGUGCAACCGGAUUAGUUCGGACAUAUUGAGUAAACCAGUCAUUCAUCAUUUGGUAGAAGGCUUGUUUAGCCUCUCCCUCCUGGUUACUCGAGGUCGGUCGAGAAUCUACCGGCUCUGUCCCUUGUGUGGGAGCAGGCGCUAUACCCUCAACAUCAUCGACUACGGCUCGAUCGGGAUCCAUUACUAUACGAAAACACAUUUUUAGACAUCAGCAGUCAUCACACUAUCUUGGUAUAAAAAUAUGGCAUGUAUAGCUAGACUCAUACAUGCUACAUUAGUCCAAGAAUCGAUUAAACCGUAGCUCUGAUACCAAUAAAAUGUAACACCCCUAACCCGUAUCCGUCGCCGAAUUAGGGUUACGAGGCAUUACUGAACAAAUACAACCAUUUUUAAAACCAACUGAUCACAAACAUGAAAAUUAAAUCAUUUUCACAUAGCUAUUUAUAAUUUACAAUCAACAUCUAACCAACAUCGUACUCAAACCUAUACAUGCCAUAAGAUCAAGUUCAAAUAUUUAACAAAAUACCAAAAGGGGUCAAAAGUGUGAUAGACUAUGCUGAUGAUCCCCGAGCUCGUAACGCGUCUCCAAAAUCUAUAAAAACAAAUGGACAAAAACAAUCAAAGUAAGCUUUUAUAGCUUAGUAAGUCUAUAGCAUAUCUAAAAUACAUAUAAAAGAAUCAUAUAAUUCUUAAAAUAAAUUUAUUGAAAUCACAAUUAUCAAUUAUAAUUACUAAUCGAACAUUGCUAUAUUAAGUCAUCUUGUUUAAAUCUAAAAGGAUGUGUAUUUAUCUAAUACACAUGAACGGACAAAUGUAUAUACAUUAUAUGCAUAUAAUCAAUUUACUAACAUAAUCAUUAAUUGCAUAUACGGAUUUCUAUAGUACUUAUUGUUCGCACUUCAUCGGAUCCAUUUAAAUAUAAUUGUUCAAAUACAUAUACCAAAAGCAUAAUAAUUUUAUACUUGAUCAACUAUAAGUGCCGAAUGCACAUAUACACCUAUACCCACCUAUGCCGAAUGCAUACAUAUAUACACAUAUAUAUAUAUCCAACAAUUUCAUGACAACCGAUAUAUAUAUACAUACUCACUAUUCACAAGGACUCGAACGAUUAUAUACUCAUCAACCACCUUAAAACAAUGUUCAUAAACUUAUCCAUUUCAUAUAAACAAAAGCAUAUAUAUUUAUACCCAAUGCAUAGAAUCACUUAAUUUAAACAGAUUCACUGGCACUUCACCUGAUAGGCUUAUAGUUUAAUUCAGUUCACCGGCACUUAGCCUACUAGGCUUGUAGCCUGAUUCAGUUCACCGGCACUUAGCCUGCUAGACGUAUAGUCCGAUUCAAUUCACCGGCAUUUAGCCUGCUAGACGUAUAGUCCGAUUCAAUUUACCGGCACUUAGCCUGCUAGAUGUAUAGUCUGAAUAAUUUUACUGGUAAUAAAUCCGAUAGUCAUUUCUCCGUUGAAAUUGAAUUAUAUUCAAUUCUGCGUAACAAACAUGCACUUAAAACAUACUUGCAUAAUUCACAACAAUAAUUUCAGUCCAAAGAGCUGUAAUUCAUAUUCGAACUAUAUAUAUAUAAAUCCAUACAUAAAAAUUCAGCUCAAAAUUUAUAACCUAUAUCUUUGAACCACAUAGGUACAUGAAAUUCAAACAACAAAAUCCAGCUCAAUAACUUCAUGAUUCAACCUAACAAAUUUAUGUAUAUAACUUUUUAUCUAAUUUCAAUACAAUAACUUAUACAUGUACGUAUAUACAUAUUUGAAUCUAACAUAUACAUAUAUAAUUUCAUACUUAAAUAUAUUCAAGACUUAUUCAUGAGUAUACAUAUAUAUUACAACUCACAUGUACAUAUAUAUACACAUUCAUACCUUUAACCAAGUCCAAGGCUUUAUACAUGUAUAUGCUUAUAUAUAUAUAUAUUCGGACCUUAUGUUUACAUAUAUAUUAUAUAUAAAUACCUUUGAUUAAAAACAAGUAUUUAUACAUAUAUAUAUUUUCGAACAUGAUACAUACAUAUAUUUAUAUCAUUCAUACUUAAACAAAAUUCAAUCCAUAUACUUUCAAUUUCAGCUCACCAAAUUACUAUAGAUAUACAUGCAUAUAUACUGAUUUAAUAACCUCAAAUUGCUAAUAGACUUACCUCGGAUAUCAGCGGACACGAUCGACUAUUCGAUUACUUUCGUUUUUCCCCGAUCCAAAUUCGUUUUCUUCGUUUUUUUAUCUUAAUUAGACCUAGAGAUAGCCGAACCUUGUUGUUCUCUUUUCUUUUCUUUUCUUUUUCUUUUCUAUAUUCGGCCAAGAUGAAGAACAUGGCAUUUAAAAUUUGUUAUAUUAAACAUAUAUUAGCCUUAUUUUUAAUUUACUAUAUUAACCUUUACAUAUAUAUAACAUAUAUAAUAAGGUUACAUUAGUCCUUUGCCACCCACUAACUUACAUAGUGGACUAAUUGCAUAGUAAAACCUCUAAAUUAUAAAGACAACAACAAUUAGGUGCUUUUAUAAUUAACCCCUAAAUUUUCAUUUUACGCGAUUAAGCCCUUUUAUUAAAUCGGACACUUAAACAACGAAAUUAAAACACGAAAAUUUCACACAAUCAAAUGCAUACAAAAUAAUAUUAAUAAUAUUUUUCUAAUUCAAAUUUGUGGUCCCGAAACCAGUAUUCUGAUUAGGGUCAAAAACUGGGUUGUUACAACUCUCCCCCCUUAGGGAUUUUCGUCCCCGAAAAUCUUACCGGUGAAUAGGUUUGGAUAACGCUCUUUCAUUGUAUCUUCUGACUCCCAAGUUGCUUCUUCAACCCCAUGUUUAUGCCACAACACUUUAACUAACGGAAUUUUCUUAUUUCGUAAUUCUUUGAUCUCACGAGCCAGAAUGCUAAUCGGUUCUUCCUCAUAUGUCAUAUCAGAGUUAAUUUCAAUCUCCGUCGGACUAAUCACAUGUGAAGGAUCAGAUCGGUAUCCACAGAGCAUUGAAACAUGGAAUACGUUAUGAAUCUUUUCUAACUCAGGCAGUAACAUCAAUCUAUAACCAACCGAUCCAACUCGCUCUAUAAUCUCAUACGGUCCAAUGAAUCUCGGACUCAAUUUGCCUUUACGACCAAAUCUGAGUAUUUUCUUCCACGGUGAGACUUUUAAAAACACUUUAUCCCCGAUCUGAAAUUCUAUAUCCUUUCUUUUCAAAUCCGCAUAAGAUUUCUGACGAUCCGGUGCUGAUUUCAGACUGUCCCGAAUCACUUUCACUUUCUGUUCGGUCUCUUUAAUCAAAUCAACCCCGUGUAUCUUAUUUUCACUGAGCUCAGUCCAAUACAGUGGUGUACGACAUUUACGACCGUACAAAGCCUCAUAAGGUGCCAUUUUGAUACUAGAUUGAAAGCUAUUAUUAUAAGCAAAUUCAAUCAAAGGUAAGUAUCGUUCCCACGUACCUUCAAACUCGAGAAUGCAACAUCUCAACAUAUCCUCAAGUAUCUGAAUGAUUCGUUCAGAUUGACCAUCUGUCUGCGGAUGGAAAGCUGUGCUAAAAUGUAGUUUCGUACCUAAAGCUGUGCUAAAAUGCACACAAAAUAAACACACAAAAUAAUAUUAAUAAUAUUUUUCUAAUUCGGAUUUGUGGUCCCGAAACCACUAUUCCGAUUAGGGUCAAAAACCGGGUUGUUACAAUUCUGCUUCUUCUGCAUCAUCAUCUUUGGUAGCUCGAAAUUCUUCAGCCCCUUACUUCCUAAUCUUAUCAACAGGUGGUCUCUCACUGAUGACUAUACCUGCAGCUAGGGAAACUACAUGAGGAACCUGUGAAUCCUGAAGGGGUGGAGGUCUUACACCCGGAUUCAUACGAACGAACUCGGCAAACCAAUCAUUCAUGGCUUGGAAGAAGGCUUCUCUAGCUCCUCCUCCCUGUCUAACUGAUGCAGGUCUUUCACUAACGUUAACAUCUAGUGGCACCGUCCUUUCUGCGGAAGUAGGCGCAUUACUCUCUACUUCAUCUGCACCAGCUCGUUCAGGAUCCGUAACUAUAAAAUAAAAUAUUUUAAAAUCGUCAAGAGUCGUCACACUAUCAAAAUAUAUAAGUAUGGCAUGUAUAGGUAGACUUUUAUUCAUACUGCAUAUUUCUGAGAACCGAUUAAACCUGCUCUGAUACCAACAAAUGUAACACCCCUUACCCAAGACCAUUUUCGGAGUCGAGCACGAGGCAUUACUUAUCUUAUCUUACUAACUCGAAGCAUAAAAACUUAUUUUAAAAAUUAAUUUCACUAUUUACAGCAAUCUGUCCAAUCGAGCAGCAGUUACUAAAUUAAUAAUAACUCGAGCUACGGAACUUGAAAUUUAACUUCGUAAAUUUUCACUGAAACUAGACUCAUAUAUCUUCCUACCAUAAAGUUUUUAGGAUUUUUUGUUUAGCCAACUAGUACAGUUUAUUAGUCAAAUUCUCCCCUGUUUCACCAAUCGAUUGCCUUGACCUCUUAUCACUAAAAAUAAAAUUUCUCAAUGUGGGAUUUUCGUAUAGUGCUACUGCUUGCUUCUACAAAAAAUAGACUCAAUAAGGAAUCUAUAAAUAUAAACUACAGCUCCUAAAUAUUUUUUUAAAAAUUUUAAUGAUUUUCUAAACUCAAAAUAGGGGUCACCAAAAACUGUUCUAACCCUGUCUCACCAAAAUUCACAUAUCUUAAAAUAUAAAAUUCAUUUUGCUACACCGUUAUUUUUAUCUGAAAAUAGACUCAACAAGAUUUAAAUUCAUAUAUCAUUCACUCUUUAAUUCAUUUUAUACUAUCCUAGGUGAUAUUUCAAAGUCACGUCGUUGUUGCUGCCUGAAUUCUGUUUCUUUGCAAAAUUGUACCAUUUUAUGAUUUCCAUGCAUAGUUUAUCACUUACACUCUUAUAACAACAAACACUUCCAUACUUCACCAUUUUAGCAACCAUUCAUCAUCAACUACUUACAUAUCAUUCUUUAUCAAGAUCAUAAAUACAAACAUUUAAAAUAACUAAAUCCCUAUACAUUCCAUACUCAACAUGGUUCAACAUAAAAAUACCGAGUUGCUGUGGCUGAUAGUGUGGACGAUCUCCGACUUCUUUAGGAUCCUUGAAGUAACCUUGCAAUACUAUAAGAGAAAGAGAAAUAAAAGACGUAAGCAUAAAGCUUAGUAAGUUUACUAGCAAAUAAAUAACAAUAUUUAACUCAGAUAAUUAAACUCAAGUGUCUAUAUCUCUAGUUUACUCUUUAGUUAAUCCCAUUCUAGUUCUCUUGCUUGUUUACUUAGUAUACUUGUGUGCAUAACUUAAUCUUCUCUUGCUGUAUCGUUGAAUAUCAAUUGAUAAUAUAAUAAGUUCUUAACUCUUAUAACUUACCUGAACUUGCCAUUUAUGUUUUUAACUGAACUUUCCUGAACAUGAUUCGUUAUUUAGCCCGUUGAGCUACAUUGGAACAAUAAGGAUACUCGGGUCUCUUCUGAUAAUAACAUGCCAAAGCCAUGUCCCAGACAUGGUCUUACAUGGGAUGUACUCAUGUCGGUGCCCAUUCCAUGUCCCAGACAUGGUCUUACGGGGGACCUCUCAUCUCGGUGCCAAUGUCAUGUCUCAGACAUGGUCUUACAUGGGACCUCUCAUCUCGGUGCCAACACCAUGUCCCAGACAUUGUCUUACAUGGGACCUCUCAUUUCGGUGCCAACGCCAUGUCCCAGACAUGGUCUUACAUGGGACCUCUUUAUCCAAAUGUCAUGACAUUCGUAUCCAGUAUUAUCCUUAUGUAUCAACGGGACUUUUUAAUUUUAAUUCUCUAUCAUUUCAUGCUUGGAUAAUCAUCAAAUAAAUUCAUGAAAUAAAUUCAUAGUUGCUGGAAAAUAGCAGCAUUAAUAAAAAUUAUUGAAAUAUUUCAUUUAUUUACCGUAAACUUACCUUGGUACCGAAUAUAGCCCAAUUCACCAACUUAGUCUUCAACUUUAUUCUUUCCUUUGUCUAACCUCGAGUUUCAUUCUUCUUGAUCUAAAAUAGAAAAUUUAACUUAUUUAAUACUCACAUUCAUCAAAACAGCCCUCGACUCUAACUUUUCAAAAUUAUGAUUUUGCCCCUAAACUUUUACAUAAUUACAUUUUUCCCCAAGGCUCGAAAAUUCAACUUCAUCUCAUAUUCUUAUGUUUUAUGGCAUGCUGAAUAUUUUUCUCUUCUAUGACAAUAUCAAAUUCUCACUCUAACACUUACUUAUGUACAUUAGAGAUUUUUACCGAUUAUGUCAACUUACUCGUUUUUGCUUAAAAUCGGCUAACAAAAGUUGUUUAACAUAAUUUAUAGCUUCAUAUUCUAUCAUAAAACAUCAAAAUAAACACUUUUCACCUAUGGGUAUUUUUCCAAAUAUAAACCCUAGGUUAAAUUAUUGCUAGAAUAAGCUAAAUUAAGUUACCGGGACUCCAAAAACGUAAGGAACAUUAAAAACGGGGCUUGGGAUCACUUACUAUGGAGCUUGGAAGCUUGAAAACCCUAAAUAUGGCUUACCCCCUUGCUGAUUUCGUCCAAAUGAAGAAGAUGAGCAUAAUUUGUCAUCUUUUUCCCUUUUAAUUCAUUUUAAUUACUAGAUUACCAAAUUGCCCCUAACUUAAAAAUUUCCUAUUUCACUUAUCUCAUGUCCAUUUUUGUCUAAAAACUUAACCAAUGGUCUAAUUACCAUAUAAAGACCUCCAAUUUAAAGUUUCAUAACAAUUGGACACCUCUAACAUGUAGAACUCAACUUUUGCACUUUUUGCAAUUUAGUACUUUUGACUAAAUUGAGUGCCCAAACUUCAAAAUUUUCGAAUAAAAUUUUCAUGAAAUCAUUUUGUGAAAUCAUAGACCAUAAAAAUAUAAGAAAAAUAAAAUUUUCCUCAUCGGAUUUGUGAUCCCGAAACCACUGUUCCGAUAAUCUUAAAUUUGGGCCAUUACAUGAUCACCUUUUUACUAGCUCAUACAUCUCCUACAUCAGACCUUACAUGCAUGCUUACCAAACUUUAUUCUUUUUAACAAAACUUUAUACAUAUCAUCGUAGCACAUCUUUCAUCUUUACUAAACUCAUAUUUUUACCAAUUUCUGUAGACAUCAUCAUCAUCAUCCUAUAUAUAUGCUUCUUGUUUGAACAGUUCAUAUCAAAGAGUCAAGAUAGAGACCCACUUGACACUCACCUACUGCAGUUCAAAGCUCUAAACUUAACCAUCCUUCUCAAACCAGCAGUAAAAACUGCUUAUAGAACAUAGAAUCACCAUUAAAAACCCAUUUACAUACAAAUUACUAUCAUCUUAAUCACUUUUCCACUGUUAAUUUAUAAAUAAGUGUUAAGUAGUAAAUAAAUAAAAAAAUUAACUAAGUUUUCAAAAAAAAAGUCACUGUGACGAGAAGAAUGUUAAAAUUAAUUGGUGUUUGUUAACUCAUAUGUUUUUCUAAAAAUGGGUUAAGUUUUCUUCUGAAAUAAACAAAUGUUUUAAAAUGAUUGUUUUAUAAACUCCGAUCGUACUAUCCCAUCUUGGUGGCUGAUGUAAUAUCCCAAAUUCAGGUCUAACAUCUAAGUCGGGUUGGAUAGGUUACAAUAUAUAUAGAAAGAUUGAUAAAUAAUGCAAACUUGAAUACAAGCAAAGAAAGAAAUCAAUCAAUGUGAAUGACUAACAAGUUUAAAAUCAUAUAUUUGCAUUAUAUUUUGUAAAGCACAAGAUUGUCAUGGAAUUAGACAAUUUGUUUUGAUAAUGGUUAUAUUUUAUAUAGAUUUACUUUUAUGCACUUUCAUAUUGAGUUGAUCAAAAGUUUUGAAACUUUAUAGAAAAUUUGAAUGAAAGAGCAUAUUGAUAUAUAUGCUAUCUUGAGUGUUGAAUUAAGCAUUCUUUAGUAAAAGAGUGUACAUUUCGCACAUGGUAGGUGUGUUGGUUUCUUAUAUAUUAAUUAAGCACAAAUUAAAGAAAAAUAAUAUAUAUCACCAUAGUGUUGUAAUAUUUUGUAUAAUUUGUGAAAUUAUACAAGCAAAUAAGUUUACCUAUCUUGUUAAAUAAAACUCAUUAAGUUGGUUCUUAAUCUUGAAGAAUUAAAUAGGUUGGCUUCUUUAUUCAUUUUAUCCAACUACAAGUUAGAUUAAAGUUGUGGAAAUAGAAUGGUUGAAAAUUUGUGUUAAUGAGAAUUAGAGUUAUGGCCACAACUGAUGCCAACUAUUUCCUAAAAACAGGGAAUGAUGUCCAAAAACAUGCUGUAAAAUAAAAAUUUGGACAUGUUAGAAUAUGAAUUUAUUAUAUUAUAGUUUCAAUGUAAUACCCUUAUCCCAUCUCUGUUGCCGGAUUAGGAUUUCAGAGUAUUACUGAGAAAAAUAGAACAUUUAACUUUCCAACAGAAACAAUUGUACAAUUAAAUACCAACAUAUAACAAUUGAAUCUAAUCAUGGCAAAUAUUACACUUUUGGACCUUGAAUCGAGCCUAUGGGGCCCUAGAAACAGUUUAGGAACAAUCUGGGAUCAAAUCAAAACAAAUCAGAACAUUUUGAAAAAACAUAAAAAUUUAGGAAUACAGAGGUCACAGGCCAUAUGGCCAAGUCGUGUGACAUAGCCUAGAUUGUGUAAACAUCCGAAGUCAGGACACAUAGCUGUGUCCCAGCCUGUGUGUCUACUCAUGUGUAUAUUUGAAAUAGGGUCACACAGUCGUGUUGCAGACUGCCAAACGUGUGUGUAUUCAAAGUGAGGUCGCAAGACCAUGUGGCCGACCGUGCCACAAACUGUUUUGAGACACAAGGUCAUGUCUCAGACCGUGUAAAACAUGCACUUAAAAUAAUAAAUACACACGACCGUAUCUAGUGACUAUGUGUGGCACAUGGUCGUGUGGUAGCUUGUGUCUCAGGUCGUGUGCUCCAUUUUUAACCCCUAAAUCAAGCCAAUCAAGCAUCAUUUCUUAUACAACAAGACAUACCAUAUCUAACUAAUUUUACAUGGUUAAAAACACAUUCAAAUCAACAAAUACAUGCCAAAAUUUCGUUCAUCCUAUGUCUAACCAAUAUGCCAUCAAAAGGCACCUCAAUCCAUACAUCCAUUCAACUCAAGAACAAAGUUACAAUAAAUGAACAAGUUUUAUCAUUAGUUAACCAUUCAUGCCUAAAACCACUAAUCUAAUUGACCAAAAUAUGGGCAUACUCAACAAGCAACCAUUUCAAAACAUCAUCAUCAAAUCUUUAUAUACCAUUUAUGAUCAACUUAAUUAUAUUCAACACAAGUACACAUCCAAAAUCAAGCACAUCACUAAGUAUGCCAAAAUAACUUAACUAUUUACAUAUCAACAAUAAGACACCAUAUCCCAAAAUGAAAUAAAAAAGCUACCAAGAUGGUUGGAUAGUGUGUGCUCCAAAACAAUUCAUCCGGUUAGUCCACAAAACGCCAAAUCAACCAAUAUAGAUAAACAAAAAGGUAAGUUCUAAUUCUUGAUAUUCAAAUGCAAGAUCACACCACAUUAGUAUAUAUUUAUUUACAUCAUAAAUGAUACCUUCCAAAAUUCAUAACCAAUUCAUCAUCCACAAUUUCUCAAUACAACCAUUAAUAUUUAUAAACAAGAACUUCAUAGUAACAUUUAUCAUUUAGUAGUAAUAUAAUUAUCCAACAAAAUUGAACAAAUAAAUGCGUUUUAAGUCAUUUGAUACAUAGCCUGCUGAACUAUAGUAACUUGACUCGGAUACUCAUGAUACUACAUCACACCAAAGGUAUCAAUGAUGCAUAACAGAGGCACCGAAGUGCAGACAAAUGCAUGAAUGUGCAAUCAGAGGCACCGAAGUGAAAACAGAUGCACCAAAGUACAAACCCGUACGAGUGCGCAUUAAAACCCUAUUGGCAUGCUAAUCGUAUCCUAAUUGUUUACUACGUUCAACUGGGCAUUAUACUUAAAAUCAUAAUAUCAAUAAAUCCAUCAUUUAGAGGCACUUCUUAUUUCCGUACACAUACUAUAAAUAUGUAACUUUCAUUUCAAUAAUAUGCAAUAACAAUAAUUACCAUCAUCAAACAUUCAUUUUCUAUUUGUACUUAAUUGCAAAAUUUAAUAAUAUAUAAGUAACUCAUGAAAUUUCACAUAUAUACCAUUAACUAGAAAACAAUAAUAUAAUCAUAAAGUGACACACAUAUACAUAUUAUUACACUAUGAACUUACCUAAAAUCUACUUUCGAUUAAUACACAGGGACUACUCCGCUAUUUUUUCCCUUUUCUCGGUUAUUGUCUUUUUGACUCGGUUCUUGAUCUAUAUAGUAAUUAAAUUCAAUUUAUGAAAUUCACAUACAUUUAAAACUCAAUUCAAUGCAUGAUACCCUUAUGUUUUCAUUAUUUUCACAUUUUUCUUAAACUUUUACAUUUCUCACAAUUUAGUCCCUACAAAAUUUAACAAAAUUUUACAAUUUUCCAUGUUAGUUGAACUUCUUUCGAAACUAGUACAAUCCCUAAUUAUUCACAAUUCACAAAAUUUCUAUGCAAAUUUUAAUAAUUCACACAUUGAUCAUUAAACUCAAAAUUAACACAAAUUUUUUUACAAAAAUAUCCUAAUCAACAUUCAAAUAUGUACAACUACCAUUAAAAAUCAUGAACACCAAAAUUCCAUUACUAACCAAUCCCUAAAACUUUAACAUUUUUAUAAUUCCAUCCUCGGGUUUAAUAGUUUAAGUUACAACGAGUUCAAAAACGUAAAAAUUAUUAAAAACAGGUAAGAGAAACACUUACAUGCACCAAUUUGCUAACCGAAACUUCAAGCUCCAAAAAUGGAGUUUUUUUUUUCUUUUUCGGUGGGAGAGAGUUGAGAAGAUGAUGAUACCAUUUUUUUCUUUUGUUUCUUUUCUUUAAUCAAACUAAUUACUAAAUUAUCCUUUUAAUCUAAACUAAAUUAUUAACAUAGCAUGUCCGUAAUUAUCCAUUAACUAACCAUAAGGUUUAUCUAUCAACCAAGUCCAUUACUUUAGUUUUUCUUUAAAAAUCAAGCACAUUUAACAAAUAGAAGCCACUUUAGCAUCUUUUACAAUUUAGACCUUUUUACUAAAUUAACUAAACAGACAUUAAAAUUUCUUAGCCAAAUUUUAUUAUGACUCCAAUAUAACUCUAUAAGCAUAAAAUAAACAUAAAAUACUAACUCAUUUGUCGAAAUUGUGGUCCUGAAACCACCUUUUUUGAUACCACUGAAAAAUGAGAUAUUACAUUAAAUCUCUAAUUUAUGAUAAUGAAUGUGAGAGAAUAAUUUUCUUUGUUUAGAAAUACUAAUCAUUUUCUUUGUUUAGUAAUACUACAACUAGAAUGUGUUUCGACCCUAUUAUUAGAAACUAAUAAUGGAAACCCAACUUUUAAUUAGAAACCUCUAAUUUUAAAGUUUAAUAGGUAACACCCCGAAUUUUGGCCCUAGAAGAAAUAUGUUUUGAACAAGGGAACAGUUAGGAGACUGCACAUAAAUAUUUAGUUGUGCAAGGAAGUGACAUAAAUGAAUGUCUACUUCAGUGGUUGAGUGAUUUAGGAGUGUUUGGAACUGUCUGAGAAGUCAGGGAUUCAAGCAUUGCUUAUGCAAAAUUUUUAUUUUAAGUGAAUAAAAUCAUUGGAUCUAGAUAGUAAGUUCUUAAAUUAUUGUGGUUAAAAUAUGAUGCAAAAGAGUUGUUGGUCUAGUGGUAAGGGGUGUGUGGAGUGCACAUAGGGCCUAAGGUUCGAGUGGUGGCGCAUCAGAAAGGAAAUAUUUAUUUUGCUACUUGAGCUGUUUAGGUAGUGGAGUUGGACUGAAACACAACUAAGGGGAGUUUGCAUAGAAUUUGAAUGGAGUUGUUGGGGGAGUUGAGGAGAAACCGGUAGAAUAAUUUAAGGAGGGAUAAGGGGAGAGAUUUUAGGAGAAAAUCAAGGGAAGUGAGGGGAGUGAAGAAGUGUGCCGAAAGUGGACUUUGAUACUCAGGAAAUUUGGCCAGAAGGGAUACUGCUCAUUUUGGUAUACUUUUCAUUUCGGUUUUGUGUAGUGUUUCUCUCUCUUUUUGCUUUUUGGUGCCGAAUUUUUGCUAAGAUUUCGAGUACCACUCGGGUUUUUCUUUUGCUGCUUUUUUCUUUUAUCAUUUCUUUUGUUUUGGCCGAAUUUCUUUUUAGUUCCCUCCUUUGUCGAAUUCUUUUCUCUCUUCUCUUUGUUGCUUCUUUUCAUUUCUCUAUUUUUCCAAACCUUGACCGAACAGUGUUGAAGUAGUUCUGUGUUCCAUCUUUUGUCUAAAAUGCUCUUCUUCCUCUACUCCUUUUGAUCAACUAUUUGUCGAAUAUUGCCUUCUCUCCCCUUUUAUCUCUUUAAAUUUAUUUUCGGCUUGACAACAAUUCUCUAACAGUUCAAAUUUCUUGAGGAGUGAAAAAGUAUCGCAUAAUAUUAAAGUCAUCGAAACCUUUCUCUCAUCACUCGAUCAAAGGUAAGUAUGUAGGCUAGCAUUCUAAAGUGUAGGCUGAGUGCUUUCUAUGGUUUCAUAAGUUAUUAUGUUUGGAUUUAAACCACAUGAAUAAACAAUCCUAUUUAAUAAAAUCCGUUUGUAAUGCAGAUAUCCAUCAAAGAGAUUGUAGUCAACCUUCGUCAGUGAUAUAAGUAGGCUAAGUCACAUUUGACAAUCGAGGCUUUGGUGCUCGUGGAUCUUAGAGUGUUUUCACAAUCAGGUGUGUAAACACCCCACUGUAACCGUAGAACGACAAAAAGCUAAAAGGCCAAAAAUACGGUGUUUGAGACCACACAGGCGUGCGAUCUCUCAUGUGGUAAGCCCAACCCACAAAUCAUGGCCGAUAGACUGUAGAGGCCUCCAUGAACAUUUCCAUGGGCUUAGGCCGUAAUGGGCCACGUUGGGCCGAAAUGGGUCGUGUGGGUUCAAUAGGCUCGUGGGCACCAUACAGAUGAGAACCACGAUUUGUGAAAAAUACUGGACUGGGCUAUGAAGAUCUCAUAGCCGUGGAAAAAUCUGGGCUGAACAGGCCGCACAAGCGUGCGGGCCUACUUGGGCCGAGUAAUGGGCCUUAGGCCCAUUUGUACCAUUAUGACCAUUUAGGUUACCUGAGUCGCUCGAGGUAACUACGGACCUUUCGAGAGGUCGAUAUCUGCACCAAGACCCAAAAUAGGUAAAAUGAUCGAAAUACCCCUAUAGAGUAAAAUGACCGAAAUACCCCCAAAGGAUAAAAUGAUUGAAAUACCCCUAUAAGGUAAAACGAUCGAAAUACCCCCGUAGGAUAAAAUAACUAUUAUACCCCUAGAAGAUGAAAUGACUGUUAUGGCCUUAUGCUAUGUAUGACUGUUUUGCUCUAUGAUAUGUAUGACUAUGGUUGAGCAUGACAUUUUUCAUACACGUAUGAUAUUAUGUCAUGAUAUAUUGCAUGGGGAUGGAUUGUUAUAUUUGGAGGAAGUGUACUGUACUGACAAGGUUGCACGGGUCGCCCAAGACGACUGUGGACCUACUGAUGGCUAUAUGCCAUUUAUUUUACUGGCAGCUUUGCUGCAAUACUGUUUAAUGCUGCAACUGGUGCUAAUCUUGGUGUGUUUGGAUGGAUGGGUAGAUUUUAUCCCCCAUAUGGUGUGUUUGGCGGAACUGUAACACCCUUAACCUGAAUCCAUUCUGACAUUGUCUCACAAAAUUUAUUAUAUCUCAUAGUUUACAAUUUUAUUACUUACACCAUUUCUUCCAUGAGAAACUAGACUCAAUAAGUUUUAAUUCUAUAUUUUAUUCAUACUCUAAUUCGAUUUUCAUAAUUUAUGGUGAUUUUUCAAAGUGAGCCUACUGUUGUUGUCCAAAACUAUUUUAGUACAAGAUGUUUAUUACCAUGUUUAUAACACCCUUAUUUUCUUUCUCUACACUAUUUCUCAUCCCUUUCUCUUAUUUUCUCUUCACUUACAUAUUAAGAACAUAGGACCAUAUAUACAAAAAAACUUUACACUAACAUCAUUUCCAUACUUUUUCAAUAAUAUCAAACUUAAAAAUAUACUAAAAUCUUGAUGUACUUACCUUGUCAUAUUGAUUUUAAUCUUUAACUUGAUUUUCUCUCUCCUCCAGCUUCUAUUUCUUGAAUCUAACUUGAUAUUAUAGCUCCCCAUAGUCUCCUUGUAAUCUUUCUCUCUUGAUGGAUAUGGAAAUUCUUUUGAUUUCUAGAUGAAAAUAGUGAAUUUUUGGUGAAAGGACUAAAUUGUAAAGAAAGCAAAACUUUCUUUCUUCUCUUCUCCUCUUAACGUGAAUUGCAUGGAAAAGAUGGUGGGUUGGUUCCUUUUCAUCUUUCUUUCCACAUAUAUAUACUAAAUAAUAAAAUAAUAAAAUAUCAUUUAAAAAUCAAAUUAAAAUACUAAUAAACUAAUAUUUAUUUGUUUAUUUAAUCUAAAAUAUCUCCAACAUCAUCAUUAUCUUCUAGAUUUCUCUCUCUUCUAAUUGACCAUUUUGCCCUUCAUGAUAUUUUAAAAUUCCAUCCUUGAGUCAUCACUUAAUUUCGUAAAAUUUCAAUUUAGUCCCUCAAAAUUCCUCACCUUUUUUCAAUUUAGUCCUAAUACAUCCAUUUUCCUUAGUUUCUAGAUCAUUCCACCCUUAAAAUAUUUACACCAUUGGUCCUUCAAUUUUUUCAUAUUUACACUUUAACCCCUCAAUUUUUGAGUAUUUACUCUUGGGCAACAAAAUUUUUACGAUUUAAUCCUUUCUUGAGGUAAUAUGUCAUAAUAUACUUCCCAAUGUUGACAUAACUCCAAAAUUCCCUUUUUUGUCGCUUUAUUUCCUUAUUUUUUUAUAUCAAAGAUAAUAUCUUACUGUAAAAAUUUUUUUGGGGGGUAUUACAUUUCUCUCCCCCUCAAAAUAAAUUUCGUCCUCGAAAUUUCCUUAUUUUCUUUUGAUCAUGAACUUAUUUUUUCUUUAAUUCUAUAGUUCAUUUUUUUUGCAUAUAUUUACUUAGCUUAUCAUUUGUGUCUAUUCUUUAUUCUUUCAUUUCACAAUUUAUUUUUAAUUUAAUAUUUCAAACAUGAAUCAGAGAUAAACUUUUACCUUGUAACUAAAAUUAUUUACCUUUUUACCUGAGGCCCAGUGGACUAAAUAGAACACGUAGGAUAUAUGAAAUUGAUACAGAAGUGCUCUGUUAUACAUCAUUAAACAGAGAGCACUAAAGUGUUAUACGGGAGCAUAAAUGUGCUAAUAAUUGGAGAGCACUAGCGUGCUAUUAAUCAGAGAGUGCGCUAAGGUUCCUUAAUGAUAUACUACUAAUAUCCUAAUAGUUCUAAUCUCAUCUACUUGGGCAAAUUAUAUCAUGCAUGCAUACGACUUUUACACUUUGCGCAUAAUGCUUUUACAUACUUUACAAUUUAAACCUUGUACCAAUGAUUCGUAUAUUUAUACCUUCUCUACCUUUAAUACAUGUAAUAUAUUUCAAAAUUCACUAAUAAUCCAUAUAUAUCAUGUACUUCAUAUAUCAUUUUUACAUAUUAUGCAAUUUAGUCAUCAGCGCAAUAUUUCUUGUAGCAAUAUGUUUUUCUUUUAAUGACACAUAUAACAUUCAUCAUCGACAUGUAUUAUAAAACAUUUAUUCAUACUUUCAUGAGUUCCAAUUCAUCCUAAUCAAUUUUUUUUACUCAUAUACUUGAGUAUCACUUUCAACAUUAUCAGAAUUAGCUCGGUUAGGAAAACAUCUCUGUUUAUAAGUAAAACAAUUCUCAUCAGACUCGAGAGAUAUCACACUAUCACAGGUUACAUAAUGGCAUGCAUUUCUAGACUUCACAUAAGCUACGUUUGGUCCAAGAACCGACUAAAUCGUAGCUCUGAUACCAAUAAAUGUAACACUCUUAACCCGAAUCCAUUCUGACAUUGUCUCACAAAAUUUAUUAUAUCUCAUAGUUUACAAUUCUAUUACUUACACCAUUUCUUCCAUGAGAAACUAGACUCAAUAAGCUUUAAUUCUAUAUUUUAUUCAUACUCUAAUUCGAUUUUCAUAAUUUAUGGUGAUUUUUCAAAGUGAGCCUACUGUUGCUGUCCAAAACUAUUUUAGUACAAGAUGUUUAUUACCAUGUUUAUAACACCCUUAUUUUCUUUCGCUACACUAUUUCUCAUCCCUUUCUCUUAUUUUCUGUUCACUAACGUAUUAAGAACAUAGGACCAUAUAUACAAAAACUUUACAUUAACAUCAUUUCCAUACUUUUUCAAUAAUAUCAAACUUAAAAAUAUACUAAAAUCUUGAUGUACUUACCUUGUCAUAUUGAUUUCAAUCUUUAACUUGAUUUUCUCUCUCCUCCAGCUUCUAUUUCUUGAAUCUAACUUGAUAUUAUAGCUCCCCAUAGUCUCCUUGUAAUCUUUCUCUCUUGAUGGAUAUGGAAAUUCUUUUGAUUUCUAGAUGAAAAUAGUGAAUUUUUGGUGGAAGGACUAAAUUGUAAAGAAAGCAAAACUUUCUUUCUUUUCUCCUCUUAACGUGAAUUGCAUGGAAAAGAUGGUAGGUUGGUUCCUUUUCAUCUUUCUUUCCACAUAUAUAUACUAAAUAAUAAAAUAAUAAAAUAUCAUUUAAAAAUCAAAUUAAAAUACUAAUAAACUAAUAUUUAUUUAUUUAUUUAAUCUAAAAUAUCUCCAACAUCAUCAUUAUCUUCUAGAUUUCUCUCUCUUCUAAUUGACCAUUUUGCCCUUCAUGAUAUUUUAAAAUUCCAUCCUUGAGUCAUCACUUAAUUUCGUAAAAUUGCAAUUUAGUCCCUCAAAAUUCUUCACCUUUUUUCAAUUUAGUCCUAAUACAUCCAUUUUCCUUAGUUUCUAUAUCAUCCCACCCUUAAAGUAUUUACACCAUUGGUCCUUCAACUUUUUCAUAUUUACACUUUAACCCCUCAAUUUUUGAGUAUUUACUCUUGGGCAACAAAAUUUUUACGAUUUAAUCAUUUCUUGAGGUAAUAUGUCAUAAUAUACUUCCCAAUGUUGACAUAACUCCAAAAUUUCCCUUUUUGUCGCUUUAUUUCCUUAUUUUUUUAUAUCAAAGAUAAUAUCUUAGUGUAAAAAAAAAUUUUUUGGGUAUUACAGGAACAGAGUGGUGUGUAGAGGCUGGAUUGGGUAGGAUUUCUAACUGCAUAUCUACACUAAUUAAUGAUUUUGUAUUGUUACUACAUCGAUUAAUGAUAUUACAUACUGUUUACUGCAUGACUGAUAUUUGUUGCUGUUAUGGGCCAAGGCCCCACUGAUACUAUUACUGAAAUUGGGCAAAUGCCCUAUUGAUUAUUGGUAUUGUGAUGGGCUCAAGCCCAAUCGUUUAAUGUUACGGGAAAGGGCUUAGGCCCACACUGAACUGGACUGUUACUAUAACAGGCUCAGGCCCAAACUGUAUUUAUCUAUUGUUUAAUUGACUACUUACUUGUUAGGGGAUUGCACACUGAGUUUUCGUAAACUCAACCCGUUGUUUAACUGUACAGGUAAUCCCUAGUUGUAGUAGGGUCAGUGCUGCGAGGGACUCGAUGAUGGCCACACAACUGCAUCAGCUUUUGUUUUUAGCCUUUGAUUUAUAAGAAACUGAAUUUGGGUAUUUUUAUGUAAAAAGGCCUCUUUAAAGUUAUAAACUUUAAAUUGGGGUUUUUAUUUAUUUAGUUUGAUAUAAACUACUAGUUGUAGAAAAAGACGGGUUUUCAAAAGGUAAAUGUUUUCAAAGUUUCAAAAGGUAAAUGUUUUCAAAGACACCACGUUUUCGCAACAUUUCUAAAAAAAAACUUCCGCAAUGAAUGAGAUUUUGGAAAAUUUAUAACGUUUUAAAAGUGAUUAGCUUUUAAUGAUGCAUGCUUGGAAAUGAACAACCCGUUUUGGAAUCAUAGUUUAACAGCAAAAUGAUUAAUUGAUUUUAAAGAUUUCAACGACAACAAGUUUUACGCUAAACACCUUAAAGUGACACCGCCAGAUUCAACCAUAACUCCUAGGCCGGGUUUGGGGUGUUACAAUGUGUUUCAACCCUAUUAUUAGAAACUGAUACCCUAUUAUUAGAAACUGAUAAUGGAAACACAACUUUUAAUUAGAAACCUCUAAUUUUAAAAUUCAAUAGGUAAAAGCAAGUUAUCGUUAAGUGCCUGUGAUACGCUAGUAAAACUCAUUCUAGAAAAAAAAGUUUAAUGGAAACAAUUGUUAUCCAUUGCGUAUAGAGGAUGAAUUUGAAUACUAUUAAUUAAGUUCAUUGUUUAUUGUUUAAAUGUCUAAAGUAAGGGAGACAUUAAAAGAACUCUACCUUUAUAAACAUAAGAAGUGGUGCCACUUCAACAAGUAAAGGUAGGGUCUCUCUUGUAAAUGUUUAUUAUGAACAAGAUAAGCACAUGAUCAUUUUAGUGCUAAAAGUGAACAACCUCUGAUAGAAAUAUAAACGAAUAUUAUGUAUAGUGUAUUUCAACUUCUAAUACUAGGAGUUGUGGUUCAAUCUUCGGACACCGACAACUUAUUAAAACUUUGAAAAGCAUCCGCUUAUUGAUGGUUCAUAUUGAGAGGUAUCAUCUUUAAUGCAUAAUAUUUGUUUGAGUGAAUGACCAUAAAGUAUGGUACCAACAUUUAAACUAAGGGUGAUUGUUAGUAGUUUAUAAUUUUGGCAGUAAAAAUAUUUUAUUAUGUAGAAAAGUCUAAUAAAUUAUAAUUAUUGGUCAAAUAGUUGUGUUGUAAAGACAAUUUUUGUAUGUAAAGUUGUCUUAUAAACUUUAUGUAAAGUUGUGUUGUAAAACAACAAAAUUAUAUGAAAAUGUAUCUUAUUAAAAGAUACAUCCAUAUGAAAGGGUAUCUCAUGAAAAGAUACACCUAUUAGAUGUCUAUAUAAAAGAUUUUUCUGUUAGUUAUUUAAAUUGUUUUGCUUGGAGUGUUGAGGGCUUUGUUGUAUCUUGAAGGUAUUUUAAAAUCUUAAAGAAAGUGCUCUACACACCUUAAAGUCAUUAUAUUUUAUAACAUUAUUUUAUUUUUCUAACUUUUAUUUUCCUAUUAUUUAUUUUUCUAACAGCUAGAAUAUAGGAAAAUUAUUAUGUUUCUAGCUAUAUAUUGAAUACAAGUAUGUUGGUGUUUAGAACUCGAACUUUGAUGGUUGAUCGAGAGAUUUGAAGCAGAAAGAAGAGACGGGAAGUUUUAAGUAGAAAAAUAAUUGAAGACUGGAAUAUAUAAUUGAUUUGCACCUCAACUAUUUAAAUACAAAAGUUCAAGCUAAAAAUAGAAAAAAAAAGUUCUAAAAAUCUGCUAAAAAUCUGGUAACAAAAUAGCAAACAAAUCAAAAAUCUAAUCUCCUAAAGUCAAGGAGAAUUAUUCAAACUUAGUAACAGAAAAAAUUUAAAUGGCAGCAAUCUUAAACACAUGAUCUUAACACUCCUCCUUGUUUAGAUGCUACAAACUCCAAGUUUCUUCCUGAAGCUUUCAAACUUGCUAAGUGGCAAUGGUUUGGUGAAGAUAUCUGCAAUUUGAUCUUCAGAUUUGUAGUAACAAAGAGACACAUCACCACUCUUUUAAACUUCUCGAACAAAAAAUAACUUGAUGUUAAAAUGCUUAGUCUUCCCAUGAAAGACUGGAUUGUUAGAGAUUGCAAUGGCAGCCUGGUUAUCAACUAGAAUCUUUGUGCUUUGCUUCUACUCCAUGUUUAGAUCAACAAGAAUCUUCCUUAACCAGAGAGCUUGGUUAACUGUUGCUGUUGCAGCCAUAAAUUCUGCCUCAACAGUGGAUUGAGCUACAGUUUCUUGCUUCUUCGAGCUCCAAGAGAACAUGCCUGAUCCAAGGCAAAAACAAUAACCAGAGGUACUCUUCAUAUCAUCAGUUAAGCCACCCCAAUCACUGUUAGAGAAACCAAUCAACUUCAAUUCCCUAUGCUUUAAAAACUUUACUCCAUAAUUCCAGGUCCCCUUGAUGUAUCUGAUAACUCUUUUUGCAGCUCUCAUGUGAGUCUCAUUGGGACAAUGCAUGAAUCUGGAGAGAAUACUUACAGCAUUCAAGAUGUCGAGUCUGGUUGUUGUUAAGUACAUUAGACAACCUACCAAACUCCUGAACUCAGCUUCAAUGACUUUGGCAGAACCAUCAUCUUUGAUUAGCUUCUCUUUUUGAUUCAUAGGAGUACUCAUUGCUUUGCAAUCUUCCAUAUGGAAUUUUCUAAGUAUCUCCUUUGCAUACUUUCUUUGACAGAUGAACACUUCAUCUUGGCUUUAUUUGAUCUCAAUGCCAAGGAAAUAAGACAUCAGAUCAAGGUCUGUCAUUUCGAAGACAUUAUGCAUUUCCAAUUUAAACUGAUUAACUUGAUCGAUAUUGCUCCUUGUAAUCAAUAAGUACAAAUAAGCAAGCUUUUUCCUUUGAUUUCCUUAUCUUCUUUUCUUUUUGUGCUUUAAUCUGUGCCACAGUAGGAUUUGCUGGAAGAGGUGGGACCUCGUAAUCCUCUUCUACAGGUUCCCAAAGAUCCAAAGCCUCUAUGUAAGUCUCCAUGCGAACUGCCUACAUCUGGUAAUUGUCUCCAUCGAAGACUGGUGGUGCAGCAACUGAAAAACUGGACCCUCCUUCCAUAUUAACACGCAAAUAACCUAACAAAUCCCUCAAGAAAAUAGCUCUGAUACCAAUUUGUUGGUGUUUAGAACUCGAACUUUGAUGGUUGAUCGAGAGAUUUGAAGCAGAAAGAAGAGACGGGAAGUUUUAAGUAGAAAAAUAAUUGAAGACUGGAAUAUAUAAUUGAUUUGCACCUCAACUAUUUAAAUACAAAAGUUCAAGCUAAAAAUAGAAAAAAAAUGUUUUAAAAAUCUGCUAAAAAUCUGGUAACAAAAUAGCAAACAAAUAAAAAAUCUAAUCUCCUAAAAUCAAGAAGAAUUAUUCAAACUUAGUAACAGAAAAAAUUUAAAUGGCAGCAAUCUUAAACCCAUGAUCUUAACAAAGUACUACUUGGAAGCCAACACCCACAAACAUGAUAAAAGUUAAUUUUGAUGAGAGUUUUGACAUGGAAGCAAGAAAUGAGGAAGAGGGUAGUUAUGCAGCAUUGUGAUGAUUUUUUAGUCUGACUAUGCAACCAUCCAAUUUAGGGUGCAUUCUCCAUUGUGGUGAAAAAGCACUUAAAGAACAUUUGGUUUUUGCACUUAAAAUGUGAUGGAAAAAUGUUUUUCCACCCAAAUACAAAAACUAGGAUAUAAAUGUUUUUGACUUUUAGCUUUUAUGUUUGGAAGUGAAAAUUAUCAAAAUAUCAUUAUUUAUAUUAACUAUUUAAAUGGUAUAUAAAAAUUAGAUUAAUUUAUAUUUUAUAUAUCAUUAUAUUAAAUUAUUUAAAUAUUAUUUAUUAUUAUAUAUUUUAAUAAUUUAUAUAUCAUCUAUUUUACAAAUAAUUUAUAUUAAUUACUUAAAAAAUAUUUGGAACUUAUAUUUCAUGUAUCAUUAUAUUAAAUUAUUUAAAUAUCACAUAAUUUAACUAAUUUUUUACUUUCCACUAUCAUGUCUAAAGAAAAGGAUAUUUUAACUUUUAACAAGAAUUUUUUGUAGCAAUGGAGAACACCAAAAAUUAAUAAACACACUUUUUCAUAGUAAUUUUCAACCACACUUUUCAACCGCAACCCUAAUGAAGAAUUAAUCCUUACUAAAGUUACCGAAGCACUAGCUUCCACCGUAGCCAUUGAAAUGGCGCUCCAAUUGGGAUUGCAACACAUUAUUAUUAAAGGAGAUGCUCUCCAAGUGGUUUCGGAGUUGAAGGAAGACAAAGGAGACCUACCAACAACCGGACCUUGAUAGCAAAGAGUUGAAUACUUGCUAAACAGGUUCAGCAAUGUAGGUUUCAACACAGGAAGAGGCAUGCUAAUGAGGUGGCACAUCAUCUGACCAAACAGGGCCUUAAUUGUUUUCCAUCUUUUGUUCAUAUGUUUGUUUUGAAAAGGUAAAACAAAUCCUCACCUAUUGAUGUUAGAACGGUUGAAUUGCUAAAAGCAUGCUGCAUGCAUAACCAUGCUUUAGGUUAGGCUUCAAAUUAAAUAAAUUUUAAAUUAUUUUUAUUUAAAUUUAAUUAUAAAAAUAAAUUAAUAUCAAUAGAAAAUUAUAUAAAAUUUUAAGAUAUUUUAUUUUUCAAUAAUAAAACGAAUCAUUCACCAAACCUAAUUCUUCAAUUUCUUUUUAAUUAGAUCACAACUCAAGCCAAGCUAACCAAUAAACACCCAAAAUCUACCAUCAUUUUCAUUUUCAUUUUUUUUUCUUUUGUGACAAAGUAGACAGAAGAUUCGGUUUGGAUAAGCUCUACGUUAUUAAGUCAAAAGCUGAAGUAAUUUUAAUCAUAAAUUGUUUUAUUUGUCUAUAAUGCAAAACAAUGACCCAGUUAGUACAAUAAAGCUUUAACUUUGUGGAACAUUUCAGUCCAAAAAAAAAAAAAAAAAGAAUUGUGGAAAUUUUAGAGCAGUUGACCAUUUCUUCGGAAUUAGUUUUCUCACUUCUUGUCCAUAUUCCAUGUAUAUUAUUUCAAGAAAUUAGGUUUAGAAAUUUGCAUAAUUCAACCAUUGAACUAAUAAAUAUUAAACAAAAAUUGGGUGGCAAAAAAAAUCUUAUUAAAAUCAUAUACUAUUACUAAAAUUUAUGAUUAAAUUAGUGUCACGAGUUAACGGGACAUUAACAAAUUAUAUUAUUUGAGGGUAUUUUAAUCUUUUUAUUAAAAAAGAUGAUGUCUCAAAUUAACUCACAAUCUAAUCUAAUUUUUCAUUUUAAUAUUGUAAAUAUUUCAUGUUUUAUUAUUAAUUUGUUUCAAAUUAUACAUUUCAUUAUUUAUUUUAUGUUAUUUUUAAACACAUCUGUAUUCUAAGUACCUAAUUUUCACUUAUGGGUAUCAGAGGCGAAUCUAGGGAGGCUGAUAGGGGUCUCGGUCCCCUUAAAAUAGAAAAUUAUUAUUUAAGCCAUUUAGAAAAUUUUAAAAUUUUAAAUUAGUAAAUGUAAAAUUACACUUUGACCCCUCUAAAAUUAUAAAAAUUUGAUUUAAUCCUUUAAAAAUUAUAAAGAUAUAAACUAUUAAAAAUAAAAAUUUCAUUUCGGCCCUGCCUAAAAAAUUUUUUUGACUUCACCCCUAAAGUAUGAUAGAGUUUCUAGUAUGAAUAAUUUUCUUUGGAAGUGUUAAACAAACAAAGGAGUUAAGUAAACAGUAGUUUUCAUACAGAAAUAUUCGGCGUUGAUGUUUCCCUUUCGAAUAAUUAAAUUAAGACUUAGGAAAAGGGAAAACAAUGAAAAAGAAACUAAAAUUGAGCUUAAUUUAUGGAGUUGGGUUAAAAUUUUAAUAUUUAAAUAUAAAAAUUCUAAUAAUUUGAUCUGGUCCGUUUCAUCUAGCAGACUAAUAAUAAAUCUUAAAACAUAUUAUAUUUUAAUUUAAAUAAAACCAAAACUAAUACACUUGACCUACAUCUACAUGUGAUCUAUGCUUCAUUUAAAUUAGUCUAAAUUAGACGAGAUCUUGAUUAGGAGUCAUUUAUUUAUAUUAUAAGUCCCUGAAACAUGCAAAACUUACAUUUAAAAAUUAAUAUUUUUACGUUGUUGUUAGAAUAUAGGGUUUGUUAAUGUUUUCGUGUGAAGUCAGCUGUUGACAUUACCAAUCAGAUAAUGAAAAGGAAACAUGGCAAUUAUUCCAUCCUAAUUGUCACCAAAUUAAGUUAAUCCAAAAAUUACCAAACGUUUAGUACUUCAAUGGUAGAGUCAGCUCUUUCUUCUAGUCUAUCAAAAAAAGUCAAUUUAACCCCUAACUCUUGGAUGGAAAAGUUUUUGCUAUGAACUUGUUGAAGUGAAUCUCAUGUGAUAUAAACGCAUCGCAAUCUCCGUGUGUAACUAAAAAUAUUUGAGAGAUUGAAUAAUUUAAAGGGGAAAAAAAAAGAAUUUACUCCCUCCACUAACAAAUUACUCUUGCCAACGUAUGUAUGAAAGUAAACACCUUUAAUUAAUCAACAAAUGCUAAAGUUCGAGGUUUAGAAUUAAUUAAAUACCAAUAUAAAUAGUUAAUUACUUUUUUGAAAUAAGGAUAAAUCAGUUUGUGAGGUUUGAAUUUUUUGUAUCUUAACAAUUGUUCUGACUUUAGAGUUUGAAGGUUUUUUUUUUAUCCAAAUUAACCUAUGAACUUAGUAAUUUGUCUCUCAUUAAGGUUUAAAUUUUUUAUUUAUCUAAGUUAAUUCUUAAAAAUCUUGAAAUUCGAGAAUAAUUGUCAAGUUAAAAAAAUUUAGAUUUCAAUAUGAGAAUAAUCUACUAGUUCGUAACCUUAAUAUAAAAACAAUUGUUAAGUUGAAAACUUAAUUUAAAAACAAAUUCAAACCCUUCUUAAGUUUACGAUUUAACCCUUUGAAAUAUUGCGUUAACUAGUAAGAGUAAGAAUUAUUUUGUGUUGAUGAUUAAAUAAAUAUUUAAGUGGAGAUCAAGUUUUACCUCAUUUGUCAAUUGUCAGGUGAAGAAUAUAUACCCCUAAAGGCCUAUCAAAAACGGACCUAUCUCUAUCUAUAUAUCUUAACUAAUUUACUAUUCAUUUUUAAUGAAAAUCAAUAAAUCAAUGAAAACGUUAUAAAAAGAAAACUACGUGAAUAAAUUAUAUGUGUAAAAUUGAAAUAUUUCUUAUUUUAGUACAAUGGUAAGGAACAUUACAUUUUUAAGGAAAUGAUGUCAGGUUCAAACCUUAAAGAUAAUAUUCUUCUUCUUGAGAAGAACAAUCCCAAACUCCAAAAUGAACCCUUAUGAAUUAUAUAAAAAAAUUUUGAAAUAUUUCUAUAAAAUAUCAUUAAAGUUUUUUAUUUAAAAAAUGUUAUGGGUAUACUUUUACCUCUUGUAAAAAAGUCUUUCAUUUCUCAAUUCUUAUGGCAUAGUAAAUUUAUCAUUAAUUUUCAUCUUUAGGUAAAAAAAAUGGUUAUUAUUUGUGUAUUAAAUAAUUGUUAGGAUAAAUUUUAAAAUUGUAUAUGAAUUUUGGUUUAAUGUUAAUUAUAUACAUUAAUUUUAAUUUUAUGUAAUUUUAUAAAUGAAAUUUUAAUUUGAUCCAAUUCUAACAAAUUAUUAACACAGUUAUUGAUAUAACAUCAUUUUAUGUUUAUAUGCUAUAUACAGAAAUAAUUAUGUUUAUUCAAUAUAAAAAUAAAUUGAUGUAUUUAUUUCUUUAAACAUAUAUGAUUGAAUCAAAAUUAAAACAUCGUGUAUAUAUUUGAACCACAAUUAAAAUUUUACAUAUAAAAUUACAUAAAAUUACAAUUUAUAUACGUAAUAAACUAAAAUUCAUAUAUAAUUUUAAGAUUUAUGUCCACAAUUCUCUAAAGCUAAACGGUGAUGAUUACCAUGGAAAUUCAAUGUACUUAACUAAUUGGUUGAUAGGAACAGGCAUGAUGAAAUCCAUGAUGGGAAGAGAGAGAAUUCAAAAACUGGAAUGCCCCCAUUAAUCCAUGCAAAUAAACUUUUUCGGUAUUACAUCAUAAUUCAUUUAAUUUUAUCAUCAUCUCUAUGCCAUAACCAUGUUUAAAGUAAAAUACUUAUAUAAAUUGAGACAUUAAUAGUUUGUAUUAUAUAAAUUAUGACAUCCAUAUAUCCAUAUUAUAAUUUUUAUGAAAAAUUAGAGCUGGCAGAUAAAAAAUGGCUUACUGAUCAAUGAAAAAUAAACUUUAUUUCUUGUAAAUUGACUUAUCCUUUUAAAAAGUAUAAAUAUUUUUUUAAAAUUCAUUUAUGAGUAAUUUUAUUAUUAUAAAAAUUAAUUUUGCAAAGUCUAAUAUUAUUAUAUUAAUAAUUUUAUUUUAAAACUAUUUAAAAAUACUAAUAUCAAAUAUUAUAAUGUUGAAUCCUAGUAACAUACAUAUUAAAUUAUUUAAAUUAUGUAAUAUUGCAAUUUUAUUUUAAUACUAAAUUUUAACAACAAUAAUUUUAAAUUUUAGAUCAUAUUUUUAAUAUAUUAUUGAAAAAUAUUUAUAUUAAUAUUUUAAUAAUAAAUAUAUAUAUUAAAAUUUAUAAAUAUUUAAUAAUAAAUGUUUUAUAGUAUAAAAUAUGAAUAUUUUAAUUAUAUAGAUAUGAGCAUUUGUUUAAAUCAUGUUUAGUUUCAUUUAUCUCCCAACUAUAAUGUGUUAUUAUACACCGUCAUAUAUAUAAUAUAUGUAAUUUAAGCAUUGUUUAUUAUUAAAUUUAUAUAUGAUAUUAAUUAUUAUAAAAUAUUAUCUUAUUAUAAAAGAAAUUCUAAUUAUCAAAAAGAAAUGUUACUUUAAUAUUUUGUAACAAGUAUAUUUAUGUUGGGCUUGUUUCAAUAAUAACUUUAAAAUGAUUUUAGAAAAAAAAUUGUCAAAUAAUAAAAAAAUAUUUUAAGCAAAAUAAUUCAAACACAAAAAACUAUCAACUUUUCCAUAAAAUCAAUCCAAUUUUAAGAAAACAUUUUGUGAAAAUUGUUUUAGGUAAAACAAAAGGAACCUAUAUUUUAUAUAGUAUUUGAAAAGUUGUUGUAUCUAGAAUUAUUAUCUUAAAUAUUUUUUUAGGUCUAAUUUUAAAUUUCAUCCCUUUAUGAAAAUUGAGAAGUUAAAUUUUCUAUUUUACUUUAUCAGUCUGUGCUUGAUUGUUUAUUAAUUUGUCGUGUAUAAAUGGUUAAAUUAUUGAUUUUUGUUAAUUACUAGCAUGUAAAUUGUCAAACUACUUGUUCUCAAGGGAACGGUAAAGUUUAAUAGUAUUAUCAAUUUAGAACAAUUUUUGAGUUUUUUCUUUUAUUUUUCAUGUUCGAGUCCAUAAUUACUCCUUCUAAUAAUGUCGUCUUUAAAGUUUGAGUUCGAAUUCAAAUUCUCUUUUUGGAAGUACAAUAUGCCUUAUAAUUAUACCUAAUACUUUUGAUUUUUGUAAAAUAUAAGAAUCAAAAUUGUGUAGUAGGAUUAAUUUCUAGAUUUUUUAAAUUUAAAAUUUAUAAUAUUAUCAAUCGCAUCACACACAAAACCAAAGAACAAGAGAAUCUAAAAAACACGUGGACCAUUAAUUUAGGAAUGGACAUUAUAUUUUAUUAGUGGAAUAAACUCAUGCAAAAUGGUUGGAAAACACAUACAGGAUUAUAUAUACUAAUCAUUUUUAUUAUUAAGCAGAAUCGGAAAUAAAUAAAUACGAGCGAAACCACUGAAUAAUACAGCAUUGAAAUGCAAUUUGUCUACAUCAUUAUUGUUCUUCACUUCAAACGCGGAGACUAGUCUAGGCUCCCAAUCUUUUGCUUUAUCUCUCUAGAUAUAUCCUUUUCAAACUAUCUUUUUGUAGCUUUAUUUGCAUCACAGCAUUAUCUUUUCCUGCAAACAACUGUUCAAUGAUUAAAACAUGCAAAACAUUCUGAAAUAAUGCACCCUUACCAGAUGACAAAAAAAAAAAAAGAUUCUAAUGUAUCUUACCUUGGAUUGGAGCACGGUCAAAGCCGUGGCUUAGUAGUGGUGAGGAGGAGGGGGUGAAGCGUAGACAUAAUGGGGUGGUGGUGGUGGAGGAGACUUGUAUUUGUAAACUGGAGGAGGAGGUGGUGGAGACUUGUACUUGUAAGGGUGCUUGGGGGGUGAUGGUGGGGGUGGUGGGGGUGACUUGUACUUGUAGGGGUGCUUGGGUGGUGACGGUGGGGGUGGGGACUUGUACUUGUAAGGAUGCUUGGGGGGUGAUGGUGGUGGUGGUGGAGGUGACUUGUACUUGUAGGGGUGCUUGGGUGGUGACGGUGGGGGUGGGGACUUGUACUUGUAAGGGUGCUUGGGUGGUGACGGUGGUGGUGGUGGGGGGGACUUGUACUUGUAGGGAUGCUUUGGUGGGGAUGGUGGUGGUGGUGGUGGGGACUUGUACUUGUAGGGAUGCUUAGGUGGUGAUGGUGGUGGUGGUGGAGACUUGUAUUUGUAAGGAUGCUUUGGUGGUGAUGGUGGUGGAGGUGGUGGGGACUUGUACUUGUAAGGGUGCUUGGGUGGUGAUGGAGGUGGAGGUGGUGGAGACUUAUACUUGUAAACUGGAGGUGGUGGGGGUGGAGACUUGUACUUGUAAGGGUGCUUGGGUGGUGACGGAGGUGGAGGUGGUGGAGACUUAUACUUGUAAACUGGAGGUGGUGGGGGUGGAGACUUGUACUUGUAAGGGUGCUUGGGUGGUGAUGGUGGGG